UUUUUUUUUUUUUUUUGUUCCGUCUUCUUUUUGUCCUUGGCUACAAAAUCUAUGAUUGAGGUACCAAGAAAACAUUAAUUUUGUACUUAUCCGCCGUUUUUUAAUCAAUAAGAAAGAUAUUCGAACUUGAGACAUCUUUUGAUCUUCAGAGACUCAACUCGAAAAAGUAAGACGAAUCUGAAAAAGAUUCAAGCUUAAGACCUCUUCCGGUCUUCCGAAAUUGAAUCUUAGAAAAGGACUGCUUCAGUUCGUAACUUAGACAACUCUCUCACUAUCAAUUUAGCAUAGUUAAUGCCACUUAAGUUCACACUUUGUUCCUUUGUUUCUUCUUAUAUUAUCGUCCUAUAAUUUCCGUACACAUAGGGCUAAACAAUGAAGACUAAUCCUCAAAAAAAUCUAAGAACAAUCACAUACGCAAUUCUUGACCAUCCAACUCUAGAAGCAAGCGGCUUAUAGCUCGAGCGGCAAAGAGCAUUGAUCCCGCACUUUGAGCCUGAAAAGUUCUGUGUUUGACUCCCCUCAAUAUCCGUUGUAUAACAACAAACAAAGACCAUCCAACUCUUAAUAACUUAAGAAGCUAUGAAGUCCAUAACCAUAGUUUUAAUACUCAAAUCAUGACUAUUAACUAGCUAUGAGCCCAGCUGCCCAUGACAACACAGAUUCUAAAAUCCAGAUUAUGUCAUGUAUACCUAACAACUUAAGGACUUACAUGACACAGGGGCACCGUCACUGUCCAAUGGUAAAAUAACAUAUGUUGUUUUUGUUCACAUGUGUUUGUAGACAAUAUGCUGCUAAAAUGACGGUGUACCAGUAUCAUGUAAGUUGCUCUAAAAUUACGACAGAGAGGAAAAAAAAAGAAAAAAAAAAGAAAUCAAUAAACAGAUCACCUCUGCAAUUGCCAUGGAAAAGAUUCUUAUGAAAUGAUGAAAUUACAAGACUGAAUUUUUACAACACAAACAAAUAAUCCGGUCGGACAAACACCAACAACGCCACCACCAUCACUCAGACCUUAUUUACCACAAAAAGGAAAAACAAAAACACAAAAUCUGAAACAUGUUUCAGAUAUUGGUUUGUGAUAGUAGCUGACUACAUGGUACCAACUGAAAUCAAAAUCUGUAAAUAUAAAUAUAUACAGACAUAUAUAUGUAUAUGUAUCUACCUUGUGGUUCUGCUGCAAAGAAAGCAAUCCAAGAUCCUCAACCAAAGAUCUCGGACACGUGGGUAUACCCUAUUGGUGUGAGUUCUUGAUUCGGAGAGGAGUUCCUCCAUGGUCUCCACGAAGGGGUUUAGGCUUCUGACUGGAGGAACGUACAGAGUCAGAGGCACUGCAGAGAAGGCAACUGUUAACAGCAACUGCAACACCAUCCUCUAUCUAUCAAUUCAAACCAAAACCCACAAAAAUAUGAUCUCAAAGAUUGGAUUUUGAUUGAAACCCAAUUGAGUUUUGAAGAUUUUGAUGCAAAAAAGGAGGGUUCUGGAGACGAUGUUUCUGGAAAUUAAAAGAAGAAGGUGGAGAGUGGAGAUUGGGGAGAGAGAGAGAGAGAGAGAGCAAAUAAAUGAUGGAUUACAAAAGGAAGGAGCAAAGUGUUAAAUGUCUGGAUCUGACUGGUAGUUGGAUGGAGGCAUUGAUAUUUUGCAGUUGGGUGUGCAGUGUGCUGCCCCUUAUCAUUCGAUCGGGCCAAGUCGAGUAAGGAUUAAGCUAUGACUGAGUUUGCGUAGUCUUUUGCUUUUCUUCUUUUUUUAUUUCAUUUUUUUCCCCUCAAAGAUAAGGCAUUUUUUUCAUUUUUUGGCUUCAUUCCUCAUGAUAAUCUUGUUGAUGUUCUAAUGCAUUUAUUCAUUUCAUCUAUUUAAUUGUAAGUUAUGUUGUGUAGCAGAUGUAAGGCUCAUUUUCAGGCUGUAUAGAAGCACAAUUAUACCGUUUGGAAUACGAAAAAUUGAUUGAGGAGAUGUCAAAGCUUUAUGAUAACUAAUUUUGGUCCAUGUGAUGUGAGUAUAGCUUCCAGUACAACUUAUAUAGUAGUCUCGUGUUUAUUACGUCUUCAAUUUAAUGAAAGAUUGUACAAUCAAGAUGACUAAAGACAUAAAAUGAUAGGAUUUCUUGAAAUUGACACCAACUCUUGAAUGAGGAGGUCCUAUAUAAAACCAGGUGUUUCCUCUGUUUCUUUGCCAAUUGAAAGGGCUAACUUUGCUAGUAUAUGAGCAAUCUCAUCACAAACUCUAGGAACAUUUAAGUACUCAAUAGAAAGGAAAGCCAAAGCAACACGUAAAUGAGUCGAUCGGUGGUUUUUGAGCACGUUUAUGGCUUGUAAAGAGUCGCUCUCCAGCACGUUUAUGGCUUGUAUAGGAUUUCAAAACGUCAUAAUGCAAUGUGAGAAAAUUAAAACCUCGUGACACAUUUUGAAAAUCACUUCAAACUUGUAUAGAACGUACUUAACCUUAUCAUUAUUUUCCUAAAUACUAUACUUCUAGUAUGUUUAAAUAACAUUAGCCACAAAUUCAAGCUAGGAAAAAUCUGUCAUAUUAAAGGAAUUGAACAAAAUGUAUAUAAUGGUGUUGUGGCUUAAUUUAAGAGUAAUAUACUCUGCUUAUAAUUUGUCAUAUUGUAUGUUACACAUUUUAAAAGCUCUUUGAGAUUAUGUGGUUCGAAACAAACUAACACCAAGUUGCUGGACUCUUGAAGAAAAGUUUCCAACUUUCCAUGUGGCCUUUUGGCGUUCGGAUGUUAGAAAAGAAGACUGGUAGUUGUAGAGAAUCUCAAUUAAGCCACAAUCAAUACAUAACCGGUCUUAUUAGGAUAGACUACAAAGUCAGCCAUUGCAGUUGCAAUAUGGCGGAUCUAGAAUUCUAAUCUUGAGUUCCAAUGUAAGACAUCAAAUUUUAUUUAGACGCAAGUUUGUUUUUUUUUUUUUGUUUUGGAAAGGUAGACGGACAUAUUGUGAAAAAAUAUAUUCAGUUAGAAAAUUUCUUGAGCAUUGGGUAGGCCUAUUAUUACAAGUGUUCAUAUUGACAAAUGCCAAUCUAUGGUCGAGACCCUAUGUCAAGUGUUGUCGACACAUCCUACAAUUAAAAUGCAUUGAUAUAUUUCUAAAUGGCAUUUCAUCAAACACUUAAUGAACACAAAAUAUUCGUAUCAUUCUAUCAGACAUUCAAAAGAUUCUCGAAAAACCUUCACAAACGUUUUCCCGGCCUUUGAAAGUCUCAGGACCAUCCGGGUUUCUAUGUGGAUCCAACCAUGGCGGUCGCCAUCGGACCCAAUCUGCACCACAUGCACAAAUUAAGGCAUCCGACCGGUGACGACCCACAAUCCGAUGAUUAAAUGAGCCGGCCCAAUCAUGGAAGCCCAUAAAUUUGUUAACUUGAAAUUCGAAAUACCCGACACCGUCAAUACAAAACAGACUUCCAACUACAAACUCUUAUUAGGAUAGACUUACAAAGUCAACCAUUGCAGUUGUAGUAUGGUGGAUCUAAGAUUUUAAUUUUGGGAAAUCCCAAUGUAAAAUAUCAAGUUUUAUUUAGACAGAAACUGUGCGCGUAGCAGAAUUUCUUUUAAGUGAUCCUGUGCAUUUGGUGGGCGUAUCAUCAUAUGCAUUCAUAUUGUUAAUGCCAAGGCAAUCACUGAGUAUUGUCAGGAUCGUCUUUGAGAUUUCAGGAGUUCUGUGUGAAAUUCAUAAAGGGACCCUUCUUAUAAGACAUCUUAAAAAAAUUGAACAAUGUAUUGAUGCUAAAAAGUAAUAUCGAAAUAAACUUUAAAACUCAUUAAUCAUCUGUUUCUAAAUAUUAUUAAAUGUAAAGGCAACUACAAUGGGACGAAGAGAGAAGGGAAGUAGAGUGGGACACUAGCGACGGCGUCUAGGAUUAUGGUGUGAAGGAAGAAAAGUGGGAAGCAACGAUGAGACUUUGGUGUGACUCGUGAGAGAAAAAAAAUGGACUCUGAGUCUCCGACAUGAAUUGUUUGCCUCGGUGGGGUUCUUUCCUUUAAAUUGAUUAGUUUUGUCAACAUAACUUUGUUAAUUAUAAUUUUAUAUAAUUCCGCACAGAUUUUAGGUGACUUUUGGGCCCAUUAGAUAUAUAUAUAUAUAUAUAUAUAUAUAUAUAUAUAUAUAUUUAUGUGAUUAGUAUUUUAUUUCAUAUAAUAUUAUUUUAUAUAUUAUUAUAUUCAAUACAAAAUAAUUUUAGGGGCCCCAAAAAAUUUUGGGGCCUUGUGCAAUGGAACCUGUCACACCUGCUAAAAGCCGGCUCUGAGUAUUGUCAACAUAUUUUGCAAAAAUAAUGUUGAUAUUCCCAUAAGACAUUUCAUUAAACACUUGAUAAACAUAAAAAUGAAUCUCCAAAGAACCUUCACAAGCACUUUUUUUCGGCCUUUGUAGGGUCCCAAUCCGCCAUAGUAGUUGCCGUAGGACCAAUCUGCACCACCCGCACAAAUUAAGUUAGAUCCGAUCGGUCCGUUUAGGAACAACCCACAAGCCGAUGAUCAAAUAAGUCGGCCCAACAAAAAAAAUAUCUCGAUCACGGAGGGCCGUAAAAUUGUUGUAAUUUUUUUUUUCAACUAACAAUAUAAAAAAAGAGAAGGGUGGACUAAAUCUUACAAUAGAUUAAUAAUAAUAUGAUUUUAUCUUGAGGUAUUGUUGACCCUAGAAACUACAAAGCAUACGUGACGCGCAGGCCGAGUAAUCUAUAAGCUAACUACGUCAUUCGGGGAAUGCGGGGCGUGCCAACUCGUCGGCCGAGCUCGACCGAGGAGUAAAUUUGUUGAUGUUGCGUUGGGUCGCGCUACUGACUUCUGCGUCUUGCGAUUGCGGCCGAGAAAGGAACACGUCUCGGCCUCUUGGGCUCUCGAACCUGAAGACAAGGUUACUAUUCUUACGAAGCUCAAUAUCAAAUUCGGCUUUCAAUGUGCCGAAUGUAAUAACUGUAACACCUCACUUCGCCGAGAAGGCUGAUGAGAUGACCUCGACCAAUAAGGAUUUAGAAACCCUUCUCGACCGAGACUUGGAUAGGUAAUCAAUCGUGCUCGCCGCAGUGCUGUUGAUGCCAACGGAAGGUACUGCGAGACCGACUGACUCUACGGUGACAGAGCUAUCUAUGCCGACUUAAGAUAUCACCGGUUGCUUCCACAGUGCUGUUGAUGCCAACGAAAGAUGUGUCAGCGAAAAAGGAAAAGGAAAAAUCACAAGUUGUGAGAAUUUGCGCAGGGCAAUUUUGUAUUGAUUUGCAGGGGCUUGAAUGAUGUGCAACCUCUUCUAUUUAUAGCAAUGGCCCCCUCCAAGGUCGAGUUAAAAACCUACUCGAACUAGGUUUUCUUCCCCUGAUCAGCAUCAACUCGACCAGUCCUACCUUCACUAGGACUGUGAACUUAGUCCUUUAACUGAACCAGAUUCGUUUCUGGGUUCUGUCGAGACUCCUUAUUGCACUAGGAUUCGACCUCUUGCGUUAUGACCUAGCCGACCUAGGUUUGGAGGCCCACGUACUGAACGAUCCAUGGUAUUCUUGUCGCAAGGCCUUCCGGGCCGAGAAUGACCCUACACUCGGCCCAAAAUUGUUAUUUUAGGCCCAAACAGGUAUUCAUCAAUUCCCCCAUGAACUUGUGAUCAUUGGCCAAUUUCCCCCCAUCAACUUUAAUUUUGGCCAAUUUCCCCCCUCAACUCUCAUAAUUAGUCAAUUUCCUCCAUCAACUUUAAUUUGGCCAAUUUCCCCCUCAACUCUCAUAAUUAGUCAAUUUGCACUCUACUGUUAAUUUUUUUUUAAAUUUUCCUUCUAUUCUUUUUUCUUUCUUUCAAUCUUUCUAAUAACUUCCAAUAAAGUACUAAAAUUAACAUAAACUCACAUGCAUAAUAUAGGGUAAAAUGUACAAAAAACAUAAUACAAUUAGUAUGUGAUAUGGGUUGAUUAUAAGAAAAAGUUAUGAAUCGGGUUUAAAACAUGUAGAAGAAGAAAUAAUAAUCCUAAACUCAUGGAUCAGACCUAUUUCAAUAAAAUGUGUUAUUCUUAAUAAGGAGUCGAAAAUUAUGAAUUGAUUAGCCAUUUUUGCACUAAAGCUCGAUUCUCCACAAUCUACUUGAACUUAGCUUUCACUUUUAUAAAGAAAAUUGUAUUCACAUACAAAAAUGUACACAUCAAUCCUUUUCGUUAUCAAUUUUGUAUAGUAAAAAAUCAAAUAAAAUUACUCCAUGCUGAUUUAUUAUGACUAAUAAUACUAUCUAUGAUAAAUUGUAAAAUUCUAAAUUUUAAUCUAUUUGUAAUAGGAUAAAGACAUAGGAAAAUGAUUAACAUACAUCUUAUUUAGUUUCUUACACACACUUGUUUAAUUAUGAUCAAAUUAAAAAAUUAACAGUAGGGUGCAAAUUGAAUAAUUAUGAGAGUUGGGGGGGGGGGGAAUUGGCCAAAUUAAAGUUGAGGGGGGAAAUUGACUAAUUAUGAGAGUUUAGGGGGUAAAUUGGCCAAAAUUAAAGUUGAGGCGGGAAAUUGACCAAUAGUUACAAGUUCAGGGGGGAAUUGAUGAAUACCUCUUUUAUCUUUGAUAAGAAUCAAGCUUAUUACCUUUCACUUAGCAACGAAUAAGAGGCAAAAUUGUUGUAAUUAACUUGAAAUUCCCAACAAAAAAGCUCAAUUUGUUGAAAACAUCAACAGUUGAAAACUUUAGUAGUUGAAAACAUUUACAUUGUUAUGAAUGCUCACACACAGAUUUCCAAUGCCCAUAAAUGUGAUGAAGACUUUGGAAACAACAAGAUUGUAUUUUCAAAGGCAUGUGAUGUAAAUUUCAAAAUGUAAUAAUGCGAAUUGCUCUAUAAAUAUAGCAUUCGAUUGCAAUCAAAACACACAGAAAGAAAGAAAAAUCAAUAAAAUCAUCUAUUCCUCCUUCUUUUAGGCCUCGUUUGGCAGCUCGGACUGUACUAACUAUUUCUGUCAGAUAUGAUAAAUAGCCACCGGAUGGUAUUGACUAAAUUAGUCGGGCAUUUGGUGCAGUAUCAGACUAAUGACCGUAUUAUUUAUACUGUGUUUGGUACUAUAUCGGAUAAUGACCGUAUUAUUUAUAUAGCGUUUGGUACUAUAUCGGAUAAGAGGAAUUCAAAUUAUUUAAAGAAAAAAAAAUGAAAUCAUCUCUUCCCCAUAUCUCAAUGCCGCACCGCCCCUUCCAAACACCUUCACUCCCUUACCAAUUCUUGACCCAAACAGGCAAAAUCGUAAAACCCAGAUGAAAUCCUUUCGAAUUUUCAAAUCUUAUCAUCAUUUCACAGUCAAGGUUCUAGAACCCAGAUGAAAUCUUUCCAAAUUGUGCGGUGGUGGUGCGAUGAAAAUAUGUUUGUUGGUUCACCUAUUUUGGCACAACUUGUGUCCAAUGGUUUGAUGAAUGAUAUUCGAGAAGAGCGAACCUUCAUGGAGAGCCGCCGAUUCUGUGGAUUAUGAGGGCCAAUCUUUGAUUCACUUGGCGGUUGCUCAAGGUCGGCCUAACCUUGUCCAGGUACUUCUUGAAUUUGAGCCUGAUGUGGAGGCUCAAAGCCUGUCAGGAUCUACUCCACUUGAGGUUCGUGCGAGAGAAGAUAGAGAUAUGGUGAGAGAAGGAGACGGAGGGAAGGGUGACGACGAGGGAGUUCAAGAGAGAGAGAGCAGUUUGUGCGAGAGAGAAGGAAAGGGACCGGACUAAAUAAUACGCCCAUUUUGGACGGUUUUAGCAAAAGGGUGUAUGCCGUGUAAAAUAAGCGGAUCAAAUUAAAUUAGUCUGGUCCAAUUUAAUACGAGAGAGCGCCUAACAUCCGCCUCCAUAUUAAUAGUCCUAUCUGAUGUACCAAACAAGACCUUAUUUAUCAUCUAUAGUGCUAUAAUUAUAAUGUGAUAUUUUACCUCAGCUUUACUCCUCUCCCUAGUUUAGUGUAACUUUUACAUAUUUAGAACACAAUUAUAUUUUGGAACUGAAAAUGGCGCACUUCUAUUAACUUUCUAAAAUUCGUAAAGACUAUUCGUCCUUCUCGUCUCUUCACAGUCCCGUCCCGUCCAAUCCAGUCCACUCCACUGUCCGCUGUCCCGAUAAUGCGGAAGAAAAUGCGAAGGAAACGCCGCGUUCCGGAGGUCCUCCGGAGGCUAUUCGGCAAACGGGCGCGAACAUUGUCCGACACCAUCGUCUCCUUGCUCCCUCCCCAUUCGUCGUCGUCAGUCCCCGCCGACUGUCGUUUCUGCAAGGGCCGCCGUUGCCUCAGCUGCACCGCACCUGACGGCUUGUCGUUUCUCCUCCGACCUGACGACCCCUCCGAUUACCGCCACCUCCUCAACCAUGGAUACGUCGUGGUUGCGAAAAAUGCACCUGCCAUCACCCGCUUUUCCCCUGACUCUCACUGGUCCCAAAUUGAGGUACUUUAUAAUCAUACACAUUCUUAGUUUAUGUAUAUAUGUUAUGUAUGUGUGUGUAUAUACUUAUAUACACAUAUAUGGAUUAAAAGCGAUAUCACUACUCUAAACUACACAAAUAAGAGAGGGGUGGUUUGAACUGGGACGCAAUGAGUUGAAGAGGAAGACCAUAUCCACAAGGGCAAUCCACCGCUCUGUGUGUAUAUAUAUUUAGGGUUCAUUAGGUUGUUUUAAUUUGUUUAUUAAUGUAAAUAUUGCAUGCUUUUGUGGCCAGAUUGUUAGAGCAGUGAUUGAAGCGAUGAUGGUUGAGCAACCUGUGUCUUCCAAUGUGAUAUGCAGUGGUUAUGAUAAGGUAAAUUCUCCUUCUUUUUUCUACCAUUUAUUUUAAUUAUAUGGAAUGUAAUUAUAUAGUCAGUUUAAAAAAAUGUAUUUGUUGAUUUGUAUAUGUUUUGGCAGUCUAAUCAGUCAAGCGGCAUUGUGGAGCUUCUAACUUCGUCGGCUUGGUGUCUUCUCUUAGAAAGGGUAUGAUCGUGUAACCGCUUUGAUUAGUUGCGAUUAAUGAUGUGUGGAAAGUUUAUGUAUGGAUUCUAAAACUGAUAAAGGAUAAAACUUUUGUGUGACAGGUUGGGGAUGGCAUUAUGGUUUAUUUACUAAGGAAUGCAUCGAUAUUUUUGCCACUUCUGCGUACGAACCACCAGCAGGUCACAGGUCUGCCAAUCAGUCAGUUGUGUCCGAAGAAGUUGAAGCGUGUGCAGCAGCCACAGUGGCAACAGUCAUUGCCUGAGUCGUAUGGUAAUCAUUAGCUUCUAUUGUAAUGUACUAUGUUGGGAAGUACUGAAAAAUGUGACCUAGCUUCGAUUAUCUGGAGAUAAGUAUAGUUCGUCUGCGUACAGUUAUCCCUUGUAUUUAGAUGAAAGUACGAUCAAAUUUGUGCAGCAUGUCAUUGGUUUUAAGCUUUCAUGUGUGUUAAUUUCUUAUUUCUUGGUCUGCUCAUGAUAUUGAAGUACAAAUCAAUUGGUUAGUAGACAUCUUAAACAGCUAGCUCAAGAAUGAAUGAAUACUACAACUCUAGACACACAGACGUGAAUAAUGACUACGAUAUAAAAUAAAUUUCUUAUCUUUUAGCAUAUACAUGAUCACAGAUCUUAGUUACCCCUCAAUGUAAUUUAGGGUAUUGACAAUGCCUGAUCUUUCUUGGUAUGUUUGGGCUCAGAGUGUUUCUUUGUGCAUGUUGAUUUGUGGUGUGUCCAAAUGGAGUCACUUGUUUUGUGUAAUCUCUCCUUGUCUCUGAUUGUUUUGGUUGUUCAUCUCUAACGCCACCCCUUAAAAGGGUGAUAAAAUACCACAACUUGGUGAUUGGAUUUGCAACUUUAUCUCAGGAUCCCGGAAAAAGAGGGAAAGAGAAGAUAAUGUACACUCAUUGUUGAAGAGACAGCACCUUAGUUCUUUUAGCAGUGAUAAAACCAUUGGUUCUGCUGCCUGCAGUGGCUGCUGCAGUGUUUGUAAGGAUAAGCAUAGUCAUAAUGGAACCAGCACGUUUACUGACAGUUAUGAAGGUGAUUUAAAUAAGGAACUUGAACAGGGUUCCCAAAGGCUUAAAAAGCGUGCAAGGCCAUUUAGUUGGCAGCGCCACAAGAAGCGUAGGCUAUUACCUUCUCAAGAAACCAGCUUUCAGGAUCCUUCCAAAACAAUUAUCGGUGAUAAGGAAAGCUUAUCUAGCAGGCUUUCAUAUUGCUCAGUUCAUCAUCAUAAAAAGGUUCAUGGGUAAACCUGACAGUUUUCUCAUUCAGACUUUUUCUAAAAUGUUGGAAUCCCCCCUUCUCCAAUAUCAUUCAAUAAAAAAUGAAAGGUCCAAAAUGUUGAAGAGGCUUAUAAGCUUUAUCAAAUUUCUUUUCUGGUUAUUUCCCUUCUCAUGUAAUUUUCUUAGUGGUUUCUUUUUAAUUUUUGUUUUCUUUGGCAGUGCUCUUGUUUGGGGUUACGCAUUCCAAGAAAGGUUGCCAAAGGGGCUCAAAUUGACAGAAAAUUCAUGUUCUUUAACUUGGAACAGUCUUCAUCAGUUUUCCCAAGAAAACGUAUCCUUUUGUACUUGUGUGUAUAUGUAUAUACAUACUGAAAUACACAGUUCUGAUCUUUGAUUACCAUUGUCCAAAAAAAAUUAUGGUGACCCACUGUUUGAUCAAAAUCCAAUAAUAUUUUAUUGGAAUUUGAACACACCAAUGUUGACCUAACAAUUGAUGACCAUGGUCAAUGGAGACCAAGUGAUAAGAAAUCUAUGUGUGUAUCUUUGGAUUUGCUAAUCUUGUCAAGCAGCAAUAAAUUGUAUGAAUAGAAAUUUGCCUUAUCAUCUCAGUAUAUUUCACGAGCAGCAACGGUUUGUGCAGUAAUGACUUUCUAAUGUUUGAUUUCCCUGAAAAUGAUGAUUUCCUAUCAUGUAUGGUGCUGUCUUGUCCUUUUCCUUUAUUCUGUUACAAGAUUUUUCCCAAAGAAACUUAGGGUUUUUCUUUUCUAUUUUUUAAAUGAUAACCAAUGUAUAACACUUAAUGAUCUUCAGAUGUUCUGAAUUCUUUAAAGCCAAAUUCUGUUGGUUCAGAAUUUCUUGUUAAGAGUAUUUUUGGCAUAUCCGACACAGAAAGUGCUAUGUCAAAUAUAUGUCCUCGUGGAAGUGGUCUUUGUCUCACGGGAUCAGCAUGCCUGUAAGCUUCUCAUUAUUCUUGAUAAUAUUUUGGUGGUGUUCUGGAAUACUGAAUGGUUUUGCUUUUAUUUUUACUUUUGACCCUACCUAGUGUGUUUUAGCGUUGGAAGUACAGAGUGGUAUCCUACUAUCUUUCAACAAGAAUUUUUUAAUAAGGAAUCUGGUUAAUAGCCAGCAGUAAAUGUAAUAAAUAUUGUUAUUAAUCCACUAGAUUUUUAAGCACGUGGUGUAAUAUUCUGUAUAUUAAAAGAUAUGCCUUUCCAUAGGAUAAUCAAAUGAAAAAGGUCUUUUUUGGCAUUGCUUUAACAAAAUGAUACCAUCGGGGUAAAUGAAAGAGUAUUUGCUACUUUGUGCUGAUAGGUUCUGUACUGGAUGGGACCAGACUAUGUAUAGAUAUGUUGCCGACAAUUAUUUGCGUUUUGUAUCUAGGAGCACAAAAACUGAAAUGUUAUGCCUAACGAUAUGUGGAAAUGAUUAUUUGAAUUGCUAUGGUCAUGAUAUCUUACAUCCUUUUAAAGUUCUUUGUUUAUAUGUUUUAAUUUUUGCGUUUCUGCUGUGCGUGUGUGUGUUGUGGAGACUGGGAGUAAUUAUUAAUUGUGCUCAAGUUAGGUCUUUAAUCCUUGUCUUCUAGCCAUUUUCUUAUCUCUGUUUUAUGUUGGGUUCCUGUGUGUGCGUGUGUGUUGUGGUCCAUAUAUGAACAAUAAGUGGUGGCUUAUGUUUUUCAGGUAUCAUUCCCUUGUUAAGCUGCUUAAGACUCUCAUACGCAGAGCUCAACAUUGCCAUAGUUUGAGAUUAUUGGACAAGCAUUGUGGUGUUUCAUCUCCAGAUGCUACUGAUUCUCACUCCGAGGCUAUUAAGUCUUAUUGCUUGAAAAGUCAGGUGGUCUCGUUUAUAUGGGCUGUUUGUAGGAGAAUCAUUCCUUCAGAUUUGCUAGGAACUGCUUCUAAUUGGAGAAUAUUGAGGAGAAAUAUUUCGAAGUUCAUACAUCUUAGAAGAUUUGAAAAUUUUUCUUUACGGCAAUGUAUGCAUAAACUGAAAACAUCUAGGUUCCCAUUUCUAUCAAAUAAACAGUAUUUCUGCGGCAUGAAUAAUGAGGCAGUAAAAGACGUGGGUGGAAAAGGAUUAGACAUUCAUAAAGGAUUCCCUAAAUUGAAUGAUGCUGCACAUAUUGUUAAACAAAAAGUCUUGAAAAGCUGGAUUUAUUGGUUCUUUUCAUCCAUAAUUGUCCCUUUGUUGCAAGUCAACUUCUAUGUCACCGAAAGUGAGCACGGGAGGCAAGAUGUAUAUUACUAUCAAAAGUCAGUUUGGGAGAAGGUGAAGAAUAAGACUAUCAGUUGCAUGAAAGAUCAGAGGUAUUAUUACUUGGAUGAUGCAACAACUAGAAGGAUUAUAAGAAAAAGAUUAUUUGGUUUUUCAAAGCUUCGGAUUUGUCCAAAAGAGUGUGGAGUGCGGUUGCUAGCAAAUUUAAAAGCAUCAUCAAAAAUGCCACAAAAGGAGUUCAGUUUGGCAGAGCAGUCCAGUGGCAUAGUAAGAAGGAAAAAAAGUCUUCAGAAAAGGGUCAAAUUUGAAUAUUUCAAGUCUGUCAAUAGCGUUCUUCGUGAUACGCAUGCUGUUCUAAAAGCUAUACGGUUGAAGGAGCCAGAGAAGUUAGGUUCAUCAGUUUUUGAUUACAAUGAUGUCUAUCGAAAGUUAUGUCCAUUUGUGAUGGGUUUAAAGAAUGGACCGACAAUGAUGCCUGAUGUAUUUAUUGUUGUUUCUGAUGUGUCAAAAGCCUAUGAUACUGUUGACCAGGAUAAGCUGCUUUGUGUGAUGAAAGAUGCCAUAAGAAUGGAUGAAUAUUUUCUAAAACAUUCAUAUGAAGUUCUUUGCACAAAAGAAUUUUUAUGGGUUCAUGAGAAUCCUGCAUUAUUGGAUCAACAUACCAGCUUGAGGUUUACAUCUUCUGCCUUACACCGAUCAUUGCAAAGUGUCCUUGUUAAUCAGGUAUUUUUGCGUAUUUAUGAAAAAUUGUCCAGCUAUAUUUUGUGAACUAAUUUUGUUUCUGUGGAAUAUGUUACAAUUUUUCCGCUCUUUGAGUCUGUACUCUGUAUUUUGUAUAUUUAUGAACUUAAUCAAUUCGAAGCCAUCCAUCUUGCUUAUAUAAAAGAAAAUAAGUUGUUCAAUAUCAAAGGAAGUAGUAUUCAAAACAUUGAGCAUAAGGUUCUUGGUGCUAAUUUGUUUCAAAUUCAGUAGCUUUUAACUUUGCAACCUUGAAGGUCCCAUCUAUGUUUAUCAUGGGGCAAGGGAUGAAAAUUUGUGUACUUGCUUAAAAUUUCUUGAGCAUCUUUGCAUUAUUAUCCCUUUCCUUUUCUUUAUAGAUUGAGGUACUUUAGCUGAUAGUUUUAUUUUCUAAUGCUUAGGAAUAUAGCAGGUCCAUGAAGAAGGAGGAACUCUUUUUUAAUCUAAAUCAACAUGUCAAGCGCAAUGUGCUGCAGUUAGAUAAAAAGUUUUAUCUGCAAGGUGUAGGUAUUCCUCAAGGAAGUGUUUUGUCUUCUUUGCUUUGUUCAUUAUACUAUGGACAUUUGGAUAGGAAUGUGAUCUUUCCGUUUCUUGAAAAAACUUGGGAACCCGUGACAAUAGAUUCAUCAAGAGGACAUAAUUUUGGAGAUGCUUCUGCUGCACAGAGUGCUAAUGAGGAUGGCAUUGCCUCAACCUCUACUUAUUUUCUACUAAGAUUUAUUGAUGACUUUCUUUUCAUCUCAACCUCAAGGAAUCAGGCUGCUGGCUUCUUCACCAGGUUGCAAAGAGGAUUUCGGGAUUAUAAUUGUUACAUGAAUGAAAAGAAGUUCUGUGUGAAUUUCGAUAUGCAACACAUGCCUGGGAUACCAUCAAGCAGGGUGUAUCUUGGUGAAGACGGCAUCUCAUUCAUUCGAUGGAGUGGCUUGCUUCUUAAUUCUUGCACUCUUGAAGUUCAGGCCGACUACACAAAGUUAAUUUCCAUGACUUAUUUUACUUUUUGAGUUUAUUGAGGUCAAUAAUAAAUUCCACAAUUUCUUAAAAACUAAAUUCAUGCACUGCUGAAGCGGUCAAAUUAUUCAUGUCUAUAGUCCACCAAAGGAAUGUCUUUUUGAAUAACGCUUUGUACAAGUGUGAUACAUGUCUGCUAGAUGUUUGGUAUGGUUGAGGCCUUUGUAAUUUGUACAACGCUAUGAUCAAGUGUCUGUCAAAACAAAUAUCAUUCAUGUUCUGCAUUACUUAAGUGUUUUGAGUAACUUGUUUCAUCUCUUUAUCAGGUACUGGAACAACCAUCUACGUUCCACUCUUACUGUCAGCUGGCAAGACCAACCAGGUCGUCAUUUGAAGAAAAAAUUGUGUGACUUUAUGAAACCUAAAUGCCAUCCAAUAUUCUUUGAUUCCAACAUCAAUUCGGCAUCUGUUGUGAGAUUAAAUAUCUACCAAGCAUUCUUGUUAUGUGCAAUGAAGUUCCAUUGUUAUGUUCGUGACUUAUCAUACAUCUGGAAACUUCGCCCUAGAUCGUAUGCUAACAUUAUCAAGAGAUCUUUGAGGUAUUCUUCUAUUCCGUUGUCUUUUAUCUUUUGUAAUUAUUUCAUCAAUAACAUGCAGUUUUCUGCAUAUAUGAAUAUGAUAGUUAAAAUUUAGUCAUCAUUUUUUAUUUUGAGACAUUAAAAUCUAGCUACUGGAUUUCCAGUUAUCCGAAAUCCAAAAUGUUCAAGUACAACGACAUUUCUAUUUCUCUUUCUUGGAGUCAUGUUGUUUUUGUUAUAUUGAUUUUAGGUAUAUGCAUGUGCUCAUAAAGAGAAGGAUGCGUUCUGUGCAUACUGAUUUCCACCCAAUUCUUCAACUGGAAAAGGGAGAGGUUGAAUGGCUUGGUUUAUAUGCUUAUAUCCAAGUACUGAAGAGAAAGCAAUCGCGACAUAAGGAGUUGAUCUCGCUGUUGGCGUCUAAGUUGUUAAAGCAUACAAUAUCGGGGUCUGUGUCUUCUCAACUAAGGUAUGCAGUCGACAGAUCACAUUCCUCUGUAAUGUGGAAGAUCAAGUAUUAGAAGACUCUUAGAGGUAUGCACGUAUUGCAUGAACAGACCAUCCUUCUGUCAUCAGUUCGCCAUCGUCCCGACUUCAGUAUUUGAAUUCUUCUCUCUUCUCUAUCUCCCCAUGUCAGGUACAGCACUUGAACAAGGACGAUGUAAGAACGGAGAAACCGCGAUUUAUCUGAGCGUGAACGUUUGUCGAGUGAACGUAGUGUCUGCAAUGUGGUACAAUUAGUGAAUUUGCCAAUCAGUCUCUUAUGUUUUUAGCAUCUUUGUGCUCUAUAAUAUUUUCUUUCCGAACUUUUGGGAAAAGGUUUUGUGCAGUACCGAGCCUGUCCAGAUUCUUGUGUGCAGGUGAAGCAACUCAUACCUCAAUUGUAAACGGUCCUUUUUUAUUUACGAGGCAAAUGACGUUGGAGAAUUGACUGCUGCUUUACGAGUUUGUUAUAUACUGCUAAGAGCUUAAGACAGUGGCGUCAACUCUCCUUGCAUCCGAGUUCCAAUUUUCUAACUGGAGUGCAGAUUAGAGUAUUAUGUUUUUUUAGUAUCAGUCUGUCAAAAAUAUAUUUCCCAAGUGAUGCGUGGAUAUUUGGAAGUACUUUUAAAAUGACUAAAAGUGCUUUUGAUACUAAUCUUUAAUAAAUGCAAGUGAAUUCUAAAAAAUGCUUUAAGUGUUUCGUGCAAGAAGCUCCAUGGUACUAGAACAACCAACGAGCUUAUUGAUGGGUGAACUAACAAUUGCACUUGAUAGAGCGAAUUUUGAAGGAUAAUGGUACUAAAUUGGUGAAAUUUGAAGUGCACUUGCAAACAUUAGAGCACUUCCAAUGUAGGAAGGCCUCCUAGGGCAAUUGCCUAUUGAAUCCCCCCUAGUGAAUAGUAAUUGUCUUUAAUGAACAGUAAUUGUCUUUUGCAUAUUCAUCCAUAAACUGAAUAGCCAUGGUAAUAGGAAAUAAAAUAUUAAUAUUUUUUAUUUUAUAAAAUAAUAAAAAAUAAUUUUAUUUGUAAUUUCGGAUAGGAUUUUUAAUCUGUCUCGUUGCGCUUCAUGAUUUUGGUGUGUGAUUUCUUAGGAUGGAUGGUGGGUUAUAUGGAUAGAUAUUUUGCCAUGGUAAUAAGGAUAGAUAUUUUGAUUUUGGUGUGUGAUUUCUUAGGAUGAAUGGUGGGUUAUAUGGAGGAAAAAUAAAGGAUUAGGUUGGAAACAAAAGUAUAUAGAAACUUUGAGAGAAAGAUUGAAUGUGGUUGAAAGUAUUUGAGAAAAUAUGAAAUUGUGGUGUAUGACGGAUGAUAAGGUAUUUAUAGAAAAAUAAAAUCUUUAUUUUUUUUAAUUUUUAUAUUUCUUUUCUCUGAUUUUUAAUUAAUUUUUGACAUGUUUUAUUAACUUAAUUAAUUUUUGUCGUUGGAUUAAAGAAAAUUUGAAAUCCAACCCUUCAGAUUGUGCCACGUGCUACAACGGUAACAUAACAUAUUUUUUUUUCCUUUUUUUUCUUUUUUUUUUUAAAUUUUUUAAAGACGAAUAACGUGGACCUUUGAUCUGGAAUCCAAUAGCUGAGAUUGUGCCACAUCAUCUAGUUGUUGGGGGAGGUUUGAAAUUUUUUUUACCGUUGGAAAUCUGACGGUCCAAAAAAAAAAUCCGUUGAAAUCCAACAGCCUUAAAGGUGCCACGUGGCACCAAGAACGGUAACAUAUUCGAAUUCAAACCACGACCCCCACCGAUUGAAAUCUAGUCGGUGACGCGCCCCCCAUGCGCGUGUGUGAUGCACGCGCCUGACACAAAUUUUUUUAUAACAUGGUUGAGAUCAUCCUUGUAUCAGAGAGCCCUCAGGCGCUUGGGCCUUGGACUAGUGCCUCACCUCUCACACGGCCCCCCCUUAGCCCAACCGCCCGCAUGGGCUGGAGCAAGGAAGCGAGGGGAUUGGGUUGAAUAGCUCCUCUUUCCACAGGGCUAUCAACUCCGUUGGAGUUGCUCUUACGAAAGAGCAAACCAAAAAGUACCAAAACGUAACUAACCCUGAUAAACUCUAAGGGGACUUGAAAGUGAGGCUCUUCUUAGACUUUUUGCCACUCAGAGUUUAACAUUAAUUAUCGUGUCAACAUUAUGAAAUAUUAUGCAAAAAAUAAAGCUGCUAGAGUUCAUAAAGAGUUACACUUUUGAGGGAGUGUUUUAGCAUUUCUAUUAACCCUUGUUGAUUCGCUUAGCCCACACGUGUCACACUCCGUCACAGUAGCACCAAAAAUCAGUGCCACGAGGUAAUAAUAUAAUGUUGCGUUCUCGCAUGGAUAGUAAAUUACCAUUUACUACCUUUAGAAGUUAUCAUUUUUCGAAGCCGGUGUUUGGCGAAGCAGCAGAAAGUGCAGACGACUGCGCGAGAGAGAAAAUCAGACGGAAAAACAAAAAUUAGGGCUUAUUAACAUGGCAUUUGCUACUCGAAUUCGAUCGAGCCUCCCUCUGGUCACCAAGAUUCUCAAAUCAGAUUCGCUCUCUGCCGCCGCCAACGGAUCCAUCGCCCACCGCUCCGUGCUUUGCCCUACUUUCAUCAAUUCUGAGGUGCUGAGAUUUCAAAUUUCGCAGAAAUACAUAGAACGGAUAAAACGCGAACAGUUAUCUUCGUUUUGGUUGUCUGAUCUAAUUUGUUUGCUUUCUCCGAUUCAUGUUCCCCCAAAAGAUAGGAUUUUUAUUGAUUAAUUUAUUAAUUAGUUUUGAUUAUAAAUUUGUAUUCGUACUUUGUGUCUAGAUAAUGAAAAAUGUGUGUUACUGGGACAAAAAUUUUGAUUAGGAUCGUUAGAAAUUUUAAAGGAUGCAAAUUUCAGAUUAAUAUUUAAUUAAUUUGUUGCUUCACAUUGUUUUCAACCAAACACAGCUUUAGCAGUAUAUACAGUGUGUAUCUGUGCGUGUCUUUUUCUUAAAGGUUUGAGAAAAUAAGCUUUACGAGGCCGUUAUUUGAAGUUUAGUCGAAUUUGUAGAAUGUGGAUUAAUUGUUUUCAUAUUUGUAUUUGUAGCCAUCCAGGAACUUUUCUACCGCGCAAGGGAAGAAGGAAGUGAAGGUUCAGGUAAUUCAUGGUUUUCGUUUAAAAGAAAAAUAUUUUCUUGGCAAGGACGUAGUGCGCUUAUUAUUGUACAUGGGCUUGAACAUUUCGUUUUUUUGUUUCUUCACUCUAUUUCUUUUUAUCUUGCAUCAAAUAAUGAACUAAAUCUCGGUUGAUUGUAGCUGUCAUUACUCUCUGUUCUCAUGCUUUACUGAAACUGGAUUGGUGCUUUUGAAUUUUGCAUUGGAAUCAAUCAUAUGUUGCCUGUUUUACUGUGUUGACGGAAUUCAUAGUUUUGUCUAUAUUUUUCACAAAGUAUGUUAUAUUGUGGUAUGCAUAAUUAAAAAAACUAUUAGGAUGUCACUUAGUUAUAAUGGGGCUUAGAAAAAAAUACAACAUUGUAAUUUAUUACAAAGUACAUUAAGAUUUAUAGACUUGUAGCUAAAUUAUGUGAAGUGUCAGUAAUAUAGAACAUAAGCUGAUGCAUGUGCGUGCUGUGUCCAAAUUUGCUUAUGCUAAUUAGGUCUGUAUUGAUUUGCUCUGCCAUGGUAUGCCAGGUGCCAUUGGUUUUGUUUGGGGGUUCUGGGAACUAUGCCUCUGCUUUGUACAUUGCUGCAGUAAAAGCUAAUGCUUUGGAGAAGGUUGAGUCUGAGAUUUUUGCCAUUGUUGAGGCUACGAAGAAAAGUCCUACCUUUUCUCAGUUCACAAAGGAUUUGUCAGUGCCAGCAGAUACUAGAGUGAAGGCAAUCGAUCAAAUUGCAGCUGAAGCUAAAUUUUCAGAAAUUACAAAGAACUUUUUGGGUAUGAUUAUUGUCUCAUUCUAGCUAAAAAUUGUGAUGUAUUCUUAUGUAUGUUUCAUGUUUUUUUUGCCUUUAUUUGUAUUCUGAUAUCAGCAGUGAUGAAUUUUACUUGCUCUGAAAAUUUCAUCUCUGUGUGCUGUUUUGUGAAAAUUGCAUUACUGUACUACUGUCGAAACAAAACGACCACCUGUUAACUAUGGGUUUUGUGUAUUGUAAUUGGGUUAUGCCAAAAGAAAGGGAAAGUAUAUUGAUUGUGGUCAAUAGAGUUAGUUUGUUCAGGAAUGGGAGGAGGAGACGGCUCUUGGACCCAGCACAUUUUUUUAUGUAUGUAGCUAUGCCAGACAAAUUAGAAAUUUUCAGUCAAUUGAGGCUAAUCCUACUUUUCUGGUAUAGUGUUAUCCCUUCCUUUGCAGUAGUGAUGGUAGAAGUCGCUAAAGUGCUGGCAUUCGUUGCUAUCAUUACUGUCAUAAUAUGUGUCUUUUAAGGCACUCUGAUGCGCUGUUUUGCAAAAGUUGCAUCCCUCUUGGGUAACUUUUUUGUUUUAAAACCCUAAGGCCAAACGUCUUGUUUGGCCUGGAUUCUUUAGAACAUUAAGAGAGAGAGCAUCAGACCAAUCAAAAGGAAAGUCAGAUGUGCUCCCUCCUAAUAGAAAGUAAAAAACAAUAGAGCCUAAUCCCAAAUCAUUAUCCUCUUUUGGCAGCCUCAAACCCAAAUCCUAGGUGGUUCUAAACCUCAAAACUCUAACUGCAUUGCAUUUUCUUUUCUUUAUUCAUUUGCGUGGGCAAUUUGUUUUCUAUCUGAAGUAAUUGGGUGAAGGUUUACUAAUCAACCAUAGUAAGCGGGAUUUGGUUGAACUGAUUUGAAAGAAUCUGAGAUAUUUACAAUCACCAAUGAAGUGGGGUAUUUUUAGACAUGCAUCUAUUAUGAAUAUACAAUGGAUGUGUUAGCAGCUGUAAAAUGAGUUUGGGUUCAGAUUUUGAUUUUUGUAAAUUGUUUCUACUUGACUCUUGAGAGGAUAAAACGUCUUGUGUUACACUUUGAAGGAUUGUUAUUUGUUAUUAUUGUAAUUAAUAUCAUUGUUGUUUGUGUUGUUGCUAUUAUUAUUAUCACCUGUAGCCAGACAUAGGACUUGUUCAUAUGGAAUUGAACGUCGGUAAAUAUAAUUAUCUGCAUUUUAUAUGAACACUAAAAACUUGACCGCUAUUUUAGUAAGAUUUUGACGUGUAUGUGCAAGUGCAAUGCACUAUUCACAUUAUAGCUUUAAUAACUGUCUUCGCUGAAGGUAUUCUAUCGUGUAUGCAUGCAUGUUCAUCAAAUUAAAUUUUUUUUCUCUUUGAUCUGUACUCAACUUUAAUCUUGUUUUUCUUUGGAAUUUUCUCAUGGUUGCUUAUUUUCCCUUAUUUUGGCUGAAAUGCAGAGUCGACAUGUUUUGUUUUUAUAUCUGAAUUCUCGUCCCUUCAUCUCUCACUCUCUCUCUCUCUCUCUCUCUCUCUCUCUCUAUAUAUAUAUAUAUAUAUAUAUAUAAAAAGGUCGUACCCAGUGCACAAGGCUCCCGCUUUACGCAGGGUCUGGGAGAGGUAAAUGUACGACCUUUUUCUAUAUAUAUAUAUAUAUAUAUAUAAUAUAAAUGUAUCUACAUAAAUAUAUAUUAUUUUAUUUAUUCAUGCAUCUGUGUUUUCUUCUAUUAGUUGUCUUGGCUCAGAAUGGGAGGCUAAGGAACCUUGAAACCAUAUCAAAGAGAUUUGCGGAGUUAACCAUGGCACAUAAGGGAGAAGUGAAAGCUAUUGUCACAUCUGUCAUUGUAAGUUGUAGUCCUUAAAUGGUAAAUUUAUUUUUUCUUACGAGCAUAACAGACUGCGUAAACGAGGACCUACUGCCAGGGCAGAGGGAAAGUUAUAUGACUAAAAAAAUACAGAAUGAUGAAACAUAAAUUUUACUCCAUAUUUUCCUGUCUAAUUGUUAUACUGUGAUCAGCCCCUUCCUGCUGAAGAGGAGAAAGAAUUGAAGGAGACACUGCAGGAAUUAAUUGGACAAGGGAAGAAGGUCAUUCUUGAACAGAAGGUAAGUAGUGGUCUUUCCGCCUGCUCUUUAAUUCACAAAUCGCUGUUACAUUGGAUGGAAAUCUGAUUCUCUGUUUUACGCUCUAGAUUGAUCCUAGUAUAUUGGGUGGGCUCGUGAUAGAGUUUGAUAAGAAGGUAUUUGACAUGUCCAUCAAGACUCGGGCACGCCAGAUGGAGAGGUAUUUGCGGGAACCCGUAAACUUUGACAACCUCUAAAAGGUGCUUGCAGACUGAGGCUGCGGUCUCCUCCAUUUCCUGUCUGUUAUAGUCAAAAUUCUAUAAAGGAAAACUUGUUUACUUUUGUUGCUCGAACCUUUGUUUAAGAAGAUGGAAAACUUGAUCGGGAUGCCAUCUAUUUGCGAAUAAAAGCUUCAUUUUUCGGAUGUGUUGUGGGCUAACUGAGGGACUUCCUAUUCUGUAUGUUUUUCUUUUUCACAUUUGAAGUUAUAAUUUGUUCAAGCUCUGUUCAAUUGCUUCACAAGUAUUUAUAUAGAGAUGUUGAUUGGCUGUGUUUUACAAACCUUGCUUAAUAAGUAACUAGCAUAUAGGCACACACAAAGUGUGUGAGAAAUUUUUUUAUUUUUGUUUUUGAAAUAGGAGAGAGGAAGAGAGUGAUAGAGAAUGUGGGAGUGUAAAGUUUUUUUAUUUUUUAUUUAGAGAUAUGUUAGGAUUACAUGUAGGUGAUGCUUUGAAGAAAAAAAAACUGUAUAAUUCAGUUGUGUGAAAUUAUAGUUGUGCCUCAUAUUUCUUAUUCAUGUUCUCUUUUAAUUAGAAGGUUAAAUUGGUAAUUUCAUAAGAUUUUGGUUGACAAUGAAUUUUAUUAAUUAGUAGAGAUGUGGUCAUUAAUGAAAUGUUAGUGUGGAUAAUGGUUUUAUAACGCAGGUUUUUUCGCACCACUGUAUUGCUAGUCAACCGACAAUGGACGAGCCCAACCAUGAGUUUAGCUAUGGUCUUUUUACUUAUGGGUUGUCUAUUUAUUAGGUUCUAUCAUUGCUGGAUCGAGAUUUACUUUGGAUAUUUGUGUUCAAAACCUAAGGAUCCUGAAAUCCGGACCACUCAAUUUUAAUUCUACGGCUCUCAUCAGUUCAUCUCAUUGUCUUAUCACACAAAACUUCAAAAAUUUGAAUGCUUAGAUCUCUCUCUUGAAUGGCUCCGAUUUUGGGGUCCUUGGGCUUGGGACAAUAAAAUCCGGAAGGGAUCUCAAUCAUUAUCAUUGAUCUUCUGACUAUCGCAGAACUCCAAUCUUCUCUUUGCUGCAAAAUCUUCGAAUCUAAAACACUCUCAAUCAAUUGUUCCAUUUUCAACGCUUUGAGGGAGAGCUGGGUAGGUUGCUUUGGUAGUCCGAUGACUUUGGCCCUAAUAUUCCUUCUCGCCUAAUCCUCUGUUGCCCUCGCUAUGGUCAUUAGCGAAAAAAAUGUUCUAUUCUCCCUAGCGUGGGAGUAGUUCUCCUGCGACUGCAGGAGGCUUUCUACAUUUUUUGUUUAAUUUGGGUCUCCGUCUCUCGCUGUGGACAAAAACCGAUCAUAAUUAUGGAAGGUAAAACACGUCGGCUUUAAUGACAUGACAACGUUGACAACGACUGCAGGAGGCUUUCUACAUUUUUCCAAUCGGGAUGUUUUUGGCUUUCCCCAAUUAUCGUUUUCUUAGUGUUUCAGUUUGUUCGUUUAAGAUGGUACCAAAAAAAGGAAAAAGUCAGAGAGUGAUUACAUGUUUUUUUUUCUUUUUUCGGAGCGUGAUCUUGUACUUGCUUGUGUGAAUAGUACUAAGCAGCCAAAAAACUUUCCUCUUUCAGAUCUUGUAUGAACUUUUUGCCCUCAAACCUUUUCUUCCCCUAAAAAGUGUGAUGAUAGAAACUCCACCAUCUAUCUAUCUACAAACAAAGUUAUCCAAUUGUGGGGAUCAAACCUCAUAAAUCUCUCCACCUUUUCCUUUUGCUCAUGAGUUCCCCGAGCAUCGCUUUUUCAGCCAUGAUUUCUCGAAGACCUUGGAGAAUUUGGUCUUUUAUGAACCCAGCCAGAGAUUUGAAGACACAGAUAGAUAUAUUGCCUCUCAAAUCUCAAUGAUACAUUCACUUUUUGUAAGGUUUUUGUGGCCUGUAGGACAAGUACAAGGUGUAAGGGUGAAUAUUAUGGAUGAUGAGGUGAGUUGGUCUUUCUUGUCUUUGUAGCCAAGUGAAGUAGUAGAGUAGGGCAUGUUUGCUUGGGACAGGCUCAAAAGCAUGAGAUAUACGUAUAUGAAUGGAUUAUUCUAUCCUUCCUGGGACGGCUGUAGAAAAGAUAAGGGGGGCUUUCUACAAACAAUUGAGUAGCUUGAGAGUUUUGCACUCUCUCACUUUUUCCCUGAAAAAGAGUGACAAAAUUUUAAAGUUUUUGGAAAACAAACAUAAGUAACUGAAUUUUCUUGAGAUUAUCUUGAGUUGAAUACGACUGCUUCUGAAUAAUCUGAUUUGCCAUCUGGCUUCGAAGUUGGAAAAUGACUGGGAAGUCGCAUCUCUUAACAUGCAGGAACAGGAGGAUUAGGUAAGGAUACAACAUGGGAUAGAGAAAUCUAUGAGUAUAUUAUACACUUUUGAUGGCUACAAAUCAUGAAUGAUUCCCGCAGUUAAUUGUGAGAUAUCUUAGAGUUAUUACGAAUUUAGAUACAAUCAUACACAGGAUCAAUAUGAUCGAUAAUCCAAAUUCACAUCAGGGCGAUGUUCCCAGACAGUUUAUAAGAGAUCAUAGACUUUAUGUACGAGAAACAAAACAGGGAAAGAGCCAACUUGAUGGCUUAGUUCAGAUGCACGACUGCCUAACAAGAGAACAUAUGACAUUACAUACGUAAGAAAUUUUUUAAGAAAAUUAAAUAAAAGAAAAUGCUGUUAAUAUAAUUAAGGAGAAACUCUUGAUAAAUCGUAAUUGUUAUUUAUGCAAACGCUGUGCAAAUGUUGCAGAACAUUGAUGGCAUGUCCAAUCAAAAUCCUUCAGCUAUAAAACGAAAAAUGAAAGUAAGAUCAUGAAUUAUCUAUAUCUGGUGAAACCAUCUCUACACUAUGCUGCAUAACAACCUAUCUUUUUUCUUCUCUCCUUUUUCUUCAUUUGGUUUGAUUUCUUGUGUUAGGGUUUAAGCUUUCUUUUUUGGUCGCAGGUUUUGAAGCUGUCAUUUACUUUGAAUCUGGCUAUGGAAACUACUUGAACAAUGUGUUGUUUUGUUACAUUCCAGUAGUACUUGGGGUUGUAGACAUAUCAUGUUUAAUAAUUUUAAUUGAAUUUGCUAGCUGCGAAACCUUAACUUCUAAUAUGAGAUUGAAAAUGCAUAAUUUUGACCAAACAGAGAACAACUGUAAUUGAUUUGAUCCGAAAGUGAGAGUUUGCUUCAAAAGCAUGUUUAAUUGACAUGAUUGAGUUAUCCUCAAUAAGUUUCAUGCAACCACUUAAACAAUCCAUAACCAUCACACAAAAAAAAUUAAGUAAACUACAAAUUACCAGUGUCAAAAGUGCAACACUUUGCCUAGUGUACAAAGAGUACUCUUGUACUCUCUCUCUCUCUCUGCAUAUAAACUUCAAUUUCACGUGUAUGUUGAUAGAGGGAGAGGGUUUUUCUUCUUGUCUUUGACUCUUUAUGGUCUUUUUCGAUUCAUUUUUCUUCACUCACAAGGUAAUCCUAUAUCAUCUUUUGUAUACUAGACAUCUAAAUUUUUUGCUUCCACUUCACAUAAUCUCUCUCUCUCUCUCUCUCUCUCUCUCUCAUAUGGGAAUGGAGCCAUGGAGGUCCCCCUCCAAUCCGUUUUCCACUCCACCCAUCGACCAACAAACAUAUUAUAUCUCUCUAUCUCUCUCUCAAAUUUUGAUAUGCAUAUUUUAAGCAAACCCCACAACCAUCACCAUCAUCAUCACCAUUGCCACCCCAUGAAGACAUCCCAUCAUCUUAUAUAUCAUUCUUGUAGAUCUCCAUCCAUCACAUUAACUACUUUAACCAAAAAAACCCCAAGAAAACAAGUCCGCUUGCAAUUACAAUGAGAAAGCCGGAGUCUAUUGGGAAAGACGAUGUCGACGGAGCGAAAACUAUUAACAAGAAGAAGAUGAUGAUGAGCAAGCUUAGGAAGGGGUUGUGGUCACCAGAGGAAGAUGAGAAGCUGAUGAUGUACAUGCUAACCAAUGGACAAGGCUGUUGGAGUGACGUUGCAAGAAAUGCUGGUCUCCAAAGAUGUGGAAAGAGUUGUCGUCUUCGUUGGAUCAAUUACUUGAGGCCUGACCUCAAGCGUGGUGCCUUUUCACCCCAAGAGGAAGAGCUUAUCAUCCAUUUCCAUUCAAUUCUUGGCAAUAGGUACUCUCUCUCAUUCUCUCGGUUGUAAUGUUUAUAAGCACAAAUAUUACAUAUUAAACACCUGUAAUUUGAAAAUAUUUUAAGUCAGACAAUUGUUUAGUUUUGGUUUUUAGAAUUAUUUCCAUUGGUAUGCCAACUUACAGAGGAUAUAUUUUUCAGAGAAAAUAAUAAUUUGAAUUUUUUUCAGCAUCUAGGGUUGUAAUGUUUUAUUUCCAACGGUUAGACUUCACUUCUGUACAAAACAUUUAAGUAAUAAUUAAGUUUACAUGAUACAACAUUAUACUUCAAUGCGCACACAUUUAUUUAUUUUUAUUAUGAAGGAAAGGGAGAGGGUUUAAACUAUUACAAUAAUUUAGGGAGGAGAAAGUUUCAAAUCCAUGACGCAUGAGUGGAAACUCAACACUCUAUCCACUAGGAUAUUGAACCACAUAUCUUAUAAUGCGCACAUAUAUGUAAAUGCACAUUGUGUAUUGUAGGGUUUAAUUAAAUUCUGACGGCCAAACUGCAUGCACACUGGAUGAGGAAAAAAAAGAGAUGCCUGAGGGUGUUUUUGCCAGUUUCAACGGAUGCGGAUAUAAACUUGCACUAUUGUGUGCAUGUAGAUUUUAGGGUACCAUUAUAAUUAAUAUAUACUUCACCAUAGGGUGCAUGCAUGUUUAACCCUUGAAAGUAAUCCUAAACCUAAGUAUUUUGUUUGUUUUCUACCGUGUUUCUUUCUGAGCUCAAUUGGGCAAAUAGUGUGCACACACACUCACAUACUAUAUCGCAUAAGUGCUUAAGCAACUAAACAUCCAUGGCAUUUCAAGUCAUGCAUUUUGUUUUAGUCGUGCACAUAUAUAUGGUUCAGAAUUGAUGUGUGUAUAUAAACAAACUGAAAUUAACGACGUGCAUACCAAUUAGCUAUUGAUUUAGUGGUGCUUUCUUUUUCAAAUGAUGAAAACAAAAAACAAAAUGUGAUGAAGUGUUGUAUCGGUCUUAACUUUUCUUUGUCUGUUUUUAUUAUGUCUUAAUUAAUCAGUUAUAUUUGUUUUUCUUGUGAUUAAUUUAGGUUAUAUUUGUUUUUCUUGUGAUGAAUUUAGGUGGUCACAAAUUGCUGCACGUCUUCCAGGACGAACGGACAAUGAAAUAAAGAAUUUUUGGAAUUCAGCCUUGAAGAAAAGGUUGAAAAAUAACAAUAUGUCCACGUCCACAUCGUCACCAAACGAUAGUGAUUCCUCUGAUCCCAGAGAUCCUGUCGUUGGAGGAACGUUUAUGCCUAUGCAUGACCAUGACAUGAUGACCAUGUACAACAUGGACUCAUCAUCCUCAUCAUCCACAUCCAUGCAAGCCAUGGCCGUUAUCAGCAACACCUUAUUCAAUCCCUUCUAUAUGCUCGACAAUCGUUAUGACAUGGCCCAUGCAGACGACGUCGUUGUAAAUCCUACAUGUUUCCCACACUUACCAAACAUUGGAGAUAAUCAGGGGCAUUAUGGGGAUUAUGGAAACUUAGAGGGUGGUCAUAAAAUGGGGUUAGAAGGUGACCUUUUUCUUCCUCCACUCGAAAGCAGAAGCAUUAAGAAUAAUCUGAAUGGUCAAUUAGUAGCUGACAAUAUAAGCAACAAGAAUAGUAGUAUUAACAACUACCACUUCCAUAAUAGUUGCUUUAAUAACACGGAACUGAUCGGGUUUAAAGUAGAUGAAGAGGAGGACAUGUUUGGAUUUGGAAAUAUUAAUGGAGGGCAAGGAGAAAACGUAAGAGUGGGAGAAUGGGAUUUUGAGGGUUUCAUGCUGGAUACUUCCUCCUUUCUCUCUUAAAGAAGAGAGCAGAGCUACGUAAAUCCGUAUAUAGCUAAGGCAUUUGCAAAACAAUUUUUUGGCUCUUGUUUACUUGGCCAAAUAAACCUUUAGUGCAUAUAUGAAAUAAUAUUGUUCCUUUAGACAUCAGAAAUGUCAAUAGUGAUGUAAGUAGAGAAUAGAAUAAGAGGACUGUUUUGUAUACAAGAUAAUAAAAAUUUGGAGGUGGAAGUUGGUAGUGAAAGAUGAGAUGGAUGUAAUCGCAUUAUGUAAACAAACGUUGCUAAGGAGCAAAGUAGAUUCAAUAUAUUCAAUGUUCUCUGCCUCUCUCUUAUCUAUUUUUACUUUUUUAUAUACAACGAAAUUCUGCAUUAAAGGAGUGAGGUUUGGAUUAGCCUACACAAUUGGUCAUCCAUAAUAAUUUUGUAUCGAACUCGCCAAACCUAAAACCUCCAUCUCAUCAGUCGAAAGAAAUACCAUUAGAUUGAAAUACCAAAAACCUCCCUCUCAUAUUUAUUUUGAAUUUAUAUAUUUAAUUUAAGCUAAAUUGUAACGUGUUCUUUAUUGUUACGGGUGGACUAAGCAGCUCUUGACUAUGGGUGUUACAAAUUAAUUCAUAUAUAAGUGGUAAGGAUGAGAGGCUAACCAUCGUUGAUUAUUCUAAGAAGCUCUUUACUCAUCAGCCUUGAAGGGAGUCUUUUAUGUUCUGCCUUAGUAGUUUGAUAUCCUAGGCUUGAUCAAGUAGUGACUUACUUAAUAUUACUAAAGAAUUAAUAAGGAUGAUAUUAAAGGUAACCUUUUUAAUUUAAUAUUAAGUAGCUUAAGUUUGAUUUUCCUUGAACAAAUUAUAUAUUUGAGACGUGUUUUUUUUCUCAUACAAGCUCAAUAUAACUAUCUUUAGGAUGUAAUUUUUUCUAGGUUAGUUGAGCAGUAUAUAUGGAUAUUGCCUUGGACUUCAUGUUGCUGCAACAAUGAUGGAUUAGAGAUUGUAUGAUUCAAGUGUACCGAAUGGGCAUUGCAUACAUUGUGUUGAUGACUAUGUUGGAAGAAAUAAUAGCCUUUAGUUUUCCUAGUGUUUGGUUUGUUGGGCCAAGCCUGUUUUAGGUAUCCUGUUUUCUUAUUUUUCAUUAAUAAAAUAAUGUUAAUAGUUAUAUUUCGUUUGUUCUGUCAUUUUUAACUGCAUAUCCUUGUGGGAAUAGGUCACUGCACCCUGCACUUGCUAAUUGAGUUCUCACUACUAUUUGUCUAGUCAAUACAUUGAGAAGCGUGGCCCGGUGCCACGAUAAGUUCGAGGAGUUGAGGUGCCGGCUGUGAAGAGCUGUGGAAACUGCUUGGAAGACUUAAGGUAGCACGGAGAAGGUAUAGAAUGGUAAUAGAAGCUUAGUUUUCUUAGUGGCCUAGACUAUAGCUAAUUAAUCCCUCGAUUUUUCACAGUUCCUCGAUGUUUCACUCAGAAUGUUUUUCUGGGACCGAAUCCUCCGUGUUUGAUGAAUAAAAUCUGAAUUUAUAUGAUGUAUGAAUGCCUAUAACUUGUGAUGAACAAAUGGUUUGUUUAGUUGUUUUGAAAUGUGAUUGUGUCAUAAUUCUCAUUUGCAGACUAUGAGACAAAAACAAAUCUACCACGGUUGAUGUCCGUGCAUGGGCAUUGUGCCUAUUAGGAAUAUGAAUGUGAUAAAAAAUCUCAUUUUCUAUAUUCCGUAGUAAAAUUGUCAUGGUAGAUGAGCUAAUGUCUUAUAAGAUUGUUGUACUUAAUUUAAUAAGAUUGUUGUACUUAAUUUAAUUAUCACUGUCGUGGUGCAAAAGCAAAAACUACCCGCAUAUUGGAUUGGAUUCGUAUAUCUAUGUCAAACUCAAAUAUGUUAUCAAACUUUAAUUCUACAAUCAUCAUUACCAUAUAUGGCCAACCUUCUACCUCAAUCCAUCGUUUCCCUUUGAAUGAAAGUAAUAUACGUCUAUUCACUAUUUAACUACCAUUUUUCUUCCCUUUCUCCUACUCUCAUGAGUACUGCCUAUGGGAACUUUUAUAUUUUAUUUCUUCUGUUUUGUUAAAGAAACAGAAAAUUAGAGGACCAUUAUUACAUUAAAAUAUAUAAAGGGAAAUUCUUGGGUUGAGGGAGGGGGUUGGGGGAACAUUGGCAGUGUCAUGCAAUCAUGUUUAGAGGAUCAUUAUUAUUUUUACAAUGUAAUAAUAUUACAUUAAGAUUAUAUAUAGUUAAUAACACAUAAUGAUGUUGGAGGUUAUAUUGUGAAAGUCCUUUUACAGUGUCAAUGUAGGUUAUUAUACUUAGACGGGACUGUAUUACGCUAGCAAUGUUGAUUGCACCAUGGACGUCUUGUUACAAUAUAGACAGGUUAUGACCUCCCUUCCUUAAUGUAUAACAGAGUUACAACAUAAUGUUAACAUUUAACAUGUGAAUUACAGGAAAGGUAAUGUAACACUAUAUAUUCGUUCCAAUUUACACUCAAAGGUUACAUAAUAAUCAUAAUGUUCCUUUAUUAGUAGAAAUAAUGGUGUUCAUAAACGGGUGUGCUUUUCCCCAAAUGGUUAUUUAAUAUUCUUGCAGAUCAAAGAUAUAAACAUUUUCAUAAGUAACAAAUAAAAUUCCAUCAUUUGAGGAAAAAAAAUUACACCGAAUAAGGUUAAUAUUACUAUAAUAAGGUUGGCUUUUACGUUGUAAACAUCAAUCUACUGUAAAAACAUAAUUGCAUUACACUAUCAACGUUCAAAUUAAAUGAUACCGCUGUUUUUUUUUAUAUUAAAAGGUACCGCAGACUUACACUUGUUUAAUUGAUGAGGAUUGAGGAGGGAGAGGAAAUACUUGGGAGUGGAUGAACUUAAUCCCAGAAUAAGAGUUGGUGAUUUGUGACUAGCUAUGGCAUUCUCACACCUGGAUAGGGUCAACCAAUGGUAUACAGGUACUGCCUUUUUUCCAAUACAACACACAGGGACGUGUCGUCGAGGAAGUAUGAAUUAACGCAUGUUCUCAUGCCUUUUACUGUUGUUGAAUUAAAGAAGAAUUCGGUGGAAAGCAAAGACUUGGACUUGAUCAAAAGGUUAUCCCGUAACUUUCGCAUUGGAUUCGAAAUGCAUAGAGAAUUGGCUCCAGUGACCAGUGAGCACGGGCAGGCUCAUUAGCGUGGCUCAAAACAAAUAAUUAUGUGUUAUCACGCUGUUAUGCCUUUUCAUCAUUCAGCAGAUUUUAUUUGCUUAGGUAGGGACAUCGAAUUAAUUUAAUUAAAUGGAAGUUUUUCCUCUUUCUUUUUGACAUGACAGUAAUUAGAGUUAGUCGAGGUUGAAUAGCUUUCGAUGACGGAUUAAUCGAAACUAUCAAAAGUAAUUAAAAAGAUAGAAAUUGUUUUUUUUUUAUGAAAAAAUAAAUUGAUAUUUAAAAGUAUCAAAAGUAAUAUUUUCAGAAAAAAUAAAAAAAUAGUUAUCUGUAAGCAUAGUUGUCGGGUAACAUAUAACCCAUUAAGGCUAUGUUAAAACAAUUGGUAUGUGGAAACGAGCAAAAGUUUAGAACUUCAAUCUACAUUUGAACUCCAGCCCAUAGAUGUAUUCUUUGGGGCUAUCAACUCUGCUUUGAUGUACUAUUUGAUCCUAAGGCCAAAACAAGGUCGGCCCCGAGAUUUAGGAGCUUGGGGCGAGCUACUAAAAUGGGGGCCUUGAUAUUUUAGGCACUUCAAUCCAAUGUACAUUGAUAUAGGUACUUUAAAUUUAAAAUGAAACAGUUAUAAGACAUACCUUAAAUUUAAAAUUUUCAUGAUUGAAAUGAUAAGCCAUUGGAGUAUUUAAUCUGUGGUGAGGGAUGGCUCAAUUUGACUUAAUAUGUCUACUAUGUAUGGAAAAAGUUGGAAUCAUAGAUGACCCCGGUUUUGUAUGCAAAGUCUUGUUUGACUUUGAAUGUAACUUUCGAUUUAAACAUUGACUUAAUCUUUCGAGUUAAACAUUGACUUAAUCGCUCUCUAAUGCAGAAAAAUUAAAAAGUUAAAAGUCAAAUUUGAUUAUGCAUGCAUUGAAAUUACAACUUGCACCACCACAUUUGAAGUCAAAUAUAAGUUAUAACUUACAGGUUUUGUUUUUUAUAUUGGAGAUCGUCUGAGAAAUUAAUUUUCAAGUUGGUUGAGUUGUAAUUUUUUAUGACCAUGCAUGGGUUGUAUAGAGGUACAAUGAAGUAAUGCUUGUGUUUAAUACAAACGAUAUUCUUAUUUUAAACUAUAUUUAUAUAUUAAGAGAAUGAGGGUAUGAACCCAAGACCCAAUAAGUUGAAGAGUUAAAUGAAGUAACGUUCUUAAAAGAGAAUAGAAACUAAAUGUGAUGAUGAUUAUUAUUAUUUUGUUGUUUGUAAUAAUUAAAAAUUGUUUGAUUACUGAUUGUACUCAAUGGUUUCAGUCUUUCCUACAAAGCGAAGCAUUCUUUAUAGCCUAGCCUACUUGGCAAGCCAAACCCCACACCACAAAAGAAAGCAACUUCUCUCUCUCUCUCUCUCUCUCUCUCUGCAGUUUAAAAACCCUUCAAAAACCCCAUUCCCAUGUCAAGGGUUAGAGCUCCAAAUCACAUCUCUCUCUCUCUAGAUAUUAUUUAUGGAGCAUGAUCAGGAAGAAGAAGCUCUAUUUCAUUCAUACCCUUGUCCAUACUACGUGCAAAGCCCAUCCGCCAUCUCCCAUUCCAACAGCGCGGAUAUUCGAAACACCAUCCUGGAAUCCGAAUUUCACUCCCCAACACGACCCAAUCCAGCAAACCGGACUCUCCACGAAGAGGCCUCUCGCUCCACUCUAUCACGCUACUCGUCCUCUCGUGGAUCCAGUCACUCAUUCCAGCACCAAAAAAGGAUCUCCUUUGAUGCACGUAGUAACGGCACAGGGACCGAUAAUUGCAAAAACCGUUUGGUUAUUGUCGUCAAAGGUGGUGGUUGUGGCAAUGGCGGUGAUGAUCACGGUGACAAUGAAGAUGAUGAGGAGGAGUAUUGUUAUGGGCUGGAGAACAGAUCGGGGUGGUGGAAGAGGAAUUGUUCAUAUCGAAAUUCUGAUUCGUUUGCAUGGAUAUUUUUGCAAAUAAGUUGGAGGGCUGUGUUGAGUUUGUGUAUUGCACUGCUUGUGUUUUACGUUGCUACAAAGCCCCCACCACCCAAAGUGUCUAUUCAGGUACGUUCAAAUAUUCAACAAUCUCUCAAAAAAAAAAGUACUCAUUUUAGUUUCAAAACUAUGCGUAUAUAUUGAUUCUAGCUAUCUUAUCUAUUAUAAAAGAUUAACCAUAAUAUAUAUGGCAUGAUGGUUUUGCAAUUGGCCUAGUAGCAUGCUUGCGACAUAUUAUUAUGGUGGUAAUAUAGGACAUAUAUAUAAUUAUGGCGAAGAGAAUAUAUAAUACCUAAUGAUGAACUAUGAAGUGUACGUACGAUCACAAAAGUAUUCUAACACAAAAUAUUAGCUUAUAUACAGGUAGUUUACUUCUUGUUUGAUUUUUUAACUUCUACCUAAACCUAAAUAAAAAAGAAUUUAAAAUAUUAGCCUAUAUGGCUAUAUGCAGGUGUUUUAGUUAACUAAUUAGUUCCUAAUAUUGAAAAUAUAAACGAAAUUAGCCCUUUGUAAGAUCAGGUUAUCUUUUCUACCUUAAAGUUGUACUGUUGCGUAUGAAGAAAAAGAAAUGUGAUUAGGUUGGAAACAGGCCGAACAAGGAAGAAGAACAAUCAUGAGACUCAAAGCACAAAGGUAGACAUAGACUUGGCUAAGUUAGCUAGAGUAGUGUGUGUACACCACUUUAAGUCAAUGAAGAAAAAAUUCAACCAUCAACCGCAUCACGUGGUCUACAAAAUAUGGUCUAAAAAAAUAGUGUUUCUAACAUUUUCCUUCCCUUUUUGCACAAGUGAAUCUUGUUUUCCUUAAUUUAGAUGAAUUUAGUGUAAAUUAUCUUAUUACUUAUAAGUAAAAAAAAAUAAAUAAACUUGAAUCACAAAAAAUAAUUAAAAAAAAACAAAACAAAUAAACUUGAAUCACAAAAAAAAAAAUAAAUAAAUAAAACAAAACAAUUAAACUUGAAUCACCUAAAAUGGCUCACAUAUUGCAAAAAUAUUCUCUUGGUGAAUACAUGAUCAAGAAAUGCAUAAUGACUCGCCCGUAGGCUACGUUUGAUGUGGAGGAAAGAGAACUUGGGAAUGAGAGAGUGUUCCCAAUUCUGAUGUUUGGCAAGUUCAUGUUUGGGAUAUGAUUUUCUCCCAUAGGAAAAUAGGGGAAAGUGCAACCUUCGCUCACCUUAGUAUUCACUUUCCUUCCCCAUGAAAAAAAAAAAAAAAUUGACUGCUACCAUUUUAUGGCAAAUAUGUCCUCGAUCGUUUGGCAAUUUAAAAUGCUAAUUUUAUACCAAAAAAUUGGCAUUUUCUACCUACCUACUAAACGUAGGAAAAAAAAAAUUCGAAUUUACUUUCUCCCAAGUAAAGACAUGGGGAAUCAUUUUCCAUGAAUUCGUUUUCCCAUACUAAAUGUAACACUAGAGUUGAUAUAAAAGGUUAAUAUUAAAACAUAAAGCACAUCCAUGUAUUCUCACACUUUGAUAACAAAUUUAUAUGCAAGCCACUAUGAAUCUUUGUCCAGUGUGUAACCAACUGAACAUAACCUCAUAACUUGGGCUUCUAAUUAAUUGACCCCGAACGUCUCCCUGAAUAUUGUUAAAGACUCGUGACCUUAAAAAUACAAAACUUACGUAGCACAUAUGCCGAGUAACUAUAAAUUAACGACGUCUUUUUUGUGAAAGUAGGCAUGCCAACUUGCAACCGAGUUCAGUCGGGCGAGUAAAAUAGAUGUGGUGUUGCAUACUAACUUCUGAAGCUGAGCGACUACGGUCGUGAGAAUAUAAGUGCGCUGAAUCAGUAUCAGGCUAUAGAGGCAAAUAUUCAGCCACCUGAGUGUCGAACUACAAAGUGCACCUAAGAGUAACCAAUCAUAUAACACUUCACUUCGCUGGAAAGUUAAUGAAGUGACCUUUUUUGGCAAAGGAAUUGAAGAUUCUUCGAUACUUGAGACUUGUAUAGAUAACCGACUGACUAGUGUUGUUGCAUCGAACUGAAGGUACUUCGAGGGCGAUUAGUUUUAUUGCUCUAGUGAUGUUUGUCAACCCAAUGAUGUUCUGACGAACUGAAUAUGAAGGUUAGGAUAAUUAGUAUUUAUCUCAAAGUUGCGAGAAGAUUUCGCGUAGAGCGUUUGAAAAAAAAAUUCGCAUAGAGCGUCUGAAUAGUUUGAUUGUUGAGUUCAAGGGGCUUGUCAUGGUGCAUAACCAUUCUAUUUAUAGAAAGACUUCUCAGCCACGGAGCUUCUCCUGAUAAGCAUUCACCAUCCUUAGCCAAAUAAUUACUCUUAUACACCAUUGAAACAAACUAUUCAAUUAGCAUCUAUGAUUACAAUCCAGGCUAAGGAUAAGACCGAAUUGAAGUUUGGCUGAGGAUAAGCCAUGCAAUCCCAUUAGCAUCCAUGAUUAAUUAGUUUGGCUAAGGAUAAGCCCACGCAAUCCCACUAGCAUCCAUUGAAGACCGCGUGCACCAUGAUUCCAAUUCAAUCCACCUUCGUAAAAAUCCCAUGCUAAUUUGAUUUGAACUGUACUACGCGAAACCCCUUUUAUCUUGCAUAAAAAAUUUAUUUAUCAUGAUUAAAAAUCGCAAUAAUAUCCCACAAUAACUAAUUCAUUGUACAUUUCUAAUAGUCUUAAACUCUGUUCAUUUUACGGUCUCGAUUGCAUGGUGCGAUCACCAAUAACGUAAUAUUGAGUCCAAAUACUGAUCGGCCGAAACGUAAAUUUCAGGCCCAAACAGACUCAAAAAUCUGCCACCGUUAAUAACUUCAACUAAUGUUCAUGAUGCUCACAAAAGAAAAAAUCGUAAUGUUCUAAAUACAAUGGGAAAGCAAAGCUUAUUCCCAACUCCCAAGCAAAACGAUUAAAGCCACAAAAAAAACCAAUUAAGUGCAUCUAAUGAACUAAAUCAACAAAAAAAUAAAAAUGUUUGUAUUUAUUCAUAACAUUCACAAGAAUUGAACGGAGAACUCAAGAAUUCUGAUUGAUAUUUUCUCCUUAAAAUGAUUAAAGUCAUAAAAGUCAAUAGAUAAUUAAUACAAGCUUACAAAUUCAAAAAGCAUCAUCAAGGCAAAGAUGUAAAACUGAAUAGGUAAAUAACAUUUUUAAUUUUCAUCUGACAUCUUUAAGACUGUAAAAAAAUUGUAAAUUCUGGAAACUGCAGAUGGCAGGAAUUGGCCAAUUUGGGCUUGGGGAAGGAGUGGAUGGCUCGGGUGUCACGACUAAGUUCCUUACCAGCAAUUGUUCUAUAAAUCUCAUAAUAGAGAACAAGUCUAAGCUCUUCGGCCUCCACAUUCGUCCUCCAACAAUGGAAAUGUGCUUCGGACGGCUACCUUUUGCACAAUCACAUGUAAGUAGAUAUAUAUAUGUUCAAUCAGGUGUAAAGUUCACUUCUUAAUUUUGUUACAUUUGUGUUUGUUUAAAUUGCCGGUCUAUAAAUAUAAGCACUUUUGGAAAUACUCGUGUCUAAAUGUGUGGUUUAGAUUAACAGUAGAAAAAUUUUCUUUGUACACACUCAUAUUGCAUUGAUGAUACAUCAAUUUGUUCCGGGCAAUCAGUCGUUAUUCAAAAUUUUCAGGGACCAAAGCUAUAUGCUGAGAGUGGGUCAUCAAAGUUCAAGUUAUAUGUUGGAACAAGGAAUAAGCCUAUGUAUGGUGCCGGAAGAAGCAUGGACGACAUGCUCGAGUCCGGGAAGGGUUUGCCGUUGGUGCUUCGUGUGAGAGUGCGCUCAAGUUUUCGGGUCGUUUGGAAUCUCAUAAAACCUAAAUUUCAUCACCAAGCAGAAUGUUUUUUGGUCGUUGAAAGGGCGUAUGACAAAAAGCAUCGUACUCAGUCAUACAAUAGCACCUGCAUAAUUAAUUGAAAGAAAAAGACACCAGAGAAUGUGAACGAGAAAAAAAAUGAGAGAUUCGUGUGCUGUCGAGCCACAAGCUCCCGUGCCAUCCGUUAUGUAAAUUACACCAAUGUCAUAAACAAAUUAUCAUGUUGGAUCCUAGUUGCAUUUUUUAAUCUCCUUUAUAUCGUUGAGGUACAAAACAAAUGUCGACGUUUCACGUUUCUAUCCAUAUACAUUUUUAAUUAUCCAGUGGUUCAUACGCAUGGUAAAUUAUUAUAUUCCUUUUUUGGACUUUAUUGUCAGAAGUUUAAGGAUCAGGAAAUCCGGGCUCUUGGUUUGUGUAAAAAUGAGAUCAGAGUCAUUGAUUUGUGUGAGAUGGACCAUCAGAAUGAGUUAAUGAGAGCUAUCGGAUUCAAUUUAAGUGAUCCACAUUGCUGGUCCUUGGACUCCAAAUAGUGAAAUCCGAAGAGGAUCUCUGUCCGUAGGUGAGUAUCUUGAAAAUGAGUUUGUUAUUUGAAAUUCUAAAAAGCCAUAUUAAGAAAAAUUUGUAUACAAAAUAUUGUUUGUAAGAUGAUAUUUUUAGACUAACAAUAACAAUACUUUUUCAAAAAUAAUUGGAAGGACGUUCCAGUAACACCAUUAAGAAUAUCAAAUAAGAAAGGUUCGUUACAGCAUUGGAGACCAUAGCUUUGGAAGCAUGCAUUGCAAGUUAAAUAACUCGUGAGUGACAUAACGCGCUUGUGUCUAAUACGCAAGUCCAACACAUGUGCCUUCUUUAAUGGGAGAAGUUUUCGAGAUCAUGUUUGCCUCAUUUGAUGUGGGUGUGAGUUUGAGCUUUACUUCCCGCGGGUAGUUGAAGGGCACUUAUGUCAAUCUGAGCUUUCUUAGUCCACGUGUAUUGUUAGUCUUACUAGAUGGUAUUAACGGGAGCAUUUUUGCUCACAGUCAUAUGAUGUAUACUUAUCAUACAUCUAAUUAUUGUUCAUGUGUUCUUUUAACUAACUCUAGUUAAUUUUUACGUUAAAUGUUACUUUUUCAAUGUUGUAAAAAAUUAACCAAGGUUAAAUAAAAGACACAUGGCAGAUGCUUAGGUGUAUGGUGAGCGUACAACAAGAUUUAUGGAGGUUGUUAGCCCAUUGUGAUAUUUAACCUACUCCCUCACCCUUUUAGUAUAGAUAAUAACGUUUUUUUUUUUUUAAAAAGAUUUAUGGUAGUGAGCAAAAAUGCUCCCAUUUUUGUUUACCUCACAUAUCUACACUUCUUUUUGGGUAAUGCUAAGAAGACCAUCAAUUUAAAUUAUAUUGUCACGCCCCGAUCCCGACAUACAUCCCAGAUCGACACAUUGACAUCAUCAAGUAUCCGUAUGUCUAACAUACCCUGCCUCCGGGAUAUGGCGAAGCACAACUCGAGCAUUGAUUCGCAUAGUAAUUUUUUGUACACUUUAUGGCUGUAUCUAACCUUAUUGUUAGACUGCCUACGUACCCUAAAUAGGGAUCAAGUCAUUCGUAGUUCGUCAAUUGUCAUACUCUAAUCUUUUCGUAAAAUACUUCUAGCGGAAAACAUAGGGUACCACAUUACACAUCAACCAUAAGCCAAGCACAAUUAUCAUCUUGUCAGGCACGCAAGUGUGCUAUUCCCACACAUAUGCUUUCCAAUUCAUCCUUUAUAUAAAUCACUAUGUUUCACAUAAUACCGCAAUUCAUAGUAUGCAACAUCUCAAAAAACAGUCAACGAAGCACAAUGUUAUCCUCUAGCCACAAUUGUUAAUAAGUCUAAUCAUAAUGACAACCAUCACAACCAACAUUAUUCCACAAUCACAUCAAUCAAUAACACAUAUCAUAUACCAAAAUGCAGGGCCAGAGCGACACAGUUCAGCCGAAGCCUACAUCUCUGAAGCUGAUAUCAAAUCCAAAGAACCAACAAGUCAAAUGAUGCGAUUUCAAACCACUCAACGAAAUCCAUCAAGAUCGAGUUCCGCACCAAUCAACGAAACCAAGACACCAAAAGGGGUUCUGGACCUCUCUAAGGAAUCCAAACUAGGAUACGAUUUCGGACCAUCACUCAACAGAAUUGCAGUAGAAGGGAUUCCGGACCAUCACUCAAUGGUAUCGCGAAGUAGAAGGGAUUCCAGACCAUCACUCAACGGAAUCCAAGUGCAUAUGAUUCCAGAUCAUCACUUAACGGAAUCGCGGAGUAGAAGAGAUUCUGGAACAUCACUCAAUGGAAUCACAGCGGAAACCCAAUUUUAGAUCACUCAACGGAACCAAGCGGAGGGUCAAUGAACAAAUCAACGGCUCAAAGAAACAAGACAUGAACCAAGUGCUCAAAUUACGAAAGCUCAACGAAACAAGAAAUGGAAACAAAGCACAAGUAUUAAAUUUAGAAUGGCUCAACGAAAUGAAACAAAACAAUGAAACGAGAUGUGAAACAUGCUUUGAAGCAACAAACCCCAUGACAACAGGUUAACGGUCCACUACUAGCCCUCAUAUUUCAUCAUAUCAUACCAAUUAUGCAAAUCAACCACAGUGUAAAUAUGCACGUCAAAUCACGUAUCACAAUCAUCAUCAGUAUGUAGACCAAAUCAUGUUUAGUAAACAUAGGUCCAUGGCUAAAUAUAUAAAAAUCACAUUUCAUUAGAAAUCACAUUUAUAAAGUUAUAUGAUAUCCACAAAGGAUAUUAAAUACGAUAGCAGGGUAGUAACCAUAUCACAUAUUUUAAAGUCACUUACUAACCAAUGUAAGCCCAUUAGACUUCAUUUAGUCUCCUGUAGUACUAAUUUUAGUAUUUAGAACGUUUCGAGACAUGUUGACCAAAAUUCAACCAUCGAUCAACAGUAGGGUCCACAACCCUACGUAAUUUGAUUCGGAAGAUCCGCACAUCGGAUUUCGGAUCCGUAACCUCUCCUCAUUAUGCUUAUAUAACAACAUAUUAAAAUUUCAACGCGAUCCAACAGUUGAAUCUUUGCCAAUCGCAAUUUCAAGUGGCGGUCGACAUUUUGUUUUACAAACUUAGAAAUCCAAUUCGGGAAGAUCCAUACGUCGGAUUCCUGAUCCGCAAGUUCCUAUUGUCCUCAAAUAUUACGAACUAUUAUGUAUUAAAGUUUGGUGCCGAUCCAACAGUCGGAUCGUCGUUAUUUAGAAUAUCCAAGUGGCGGACCUUAAUGAAAAUAUAGUCAAACGACGGAAAUUCAUCAAUCAGACUUUACAUAUAGAAUUGAGGUAUCAAAUUUAGCCUAGGAAGGUCAUGGGGUGCCUCGGCCCAAGCGCCACCAAAGGUGGUGGUCGGCCGCCCCGACUUGCCGGAAAAUUCACUAUUUAAAAAAUUACCAAAUUUCACAGAAAUGUAGAGCAAUUCAAGGGGAGCAAUUUUCAUACCUAGGCCGAAAUCCAAUUCGGUCUGGUAAAGCUCCAAUUUCACUCAAACCCGCCGGAACCCUAAAAUGGGUUGACUUCGAUUCUCCUUCCUCGGUGUUUCGACGCCCUUACAACUAGAUGGGUCUUGUUCUUGGGUCCAAGAGGAGUUGAUUAACGGUGGUGAUGUGUGGUGUAACUCGGCGGAACAGCGGAAUCGCCGUCGAGCACCCCUGGGUUCACCUGCACUGUUCUACACGAAAUUAGACUUAAAAGCCUUUGAUCUUGGGCGGGAAUGGUAGAGGGGAGGUUGUGGAAGAGGUUGCAGGUGGUGGAUGUGGUGUAUCGACGGAAAAAAUGGCGGAAUCGUCGGAUUUGAACCAGGUCAAAACUAGUUGUGGGUGCACCGGCCGACGGGAAGAGGGAGGUCUCUUUUCUUUUCUUUUUUUCUUUUUUUCCUAAAUAUAUAAAAAUCACAUUUAUAAAGUUAUGUGAUAUCCACAAAGGAUAUUAAAUAUGAUAGGAGGGUAGUAACCAUAUCACAUAUUUUAAAGUCACUUACUAACCAAUGUAAGCCCAUUAGACGUCAUUUAGUCUCCCGUAGUACUAAUUUUAGUCUCCCAUCGAUCAACUGUAAGGUCCACAACCCUACGUAAUUUGAUCCAGAAGAUCGGCCCAACAGAUUUUGGAUCAAUAACCUCCUAAGGUCCUUAUUAUGCUCAUAUAACAACUUAUUAAAAUCUCAUCGCGAUCCAACGGUCGGAUCUCCGCCAAUCGCAAUUUCAAGUGGCGGUCGACAUUUUAUUUUACAAACUUAGAAAUCCAAUUUGGGAAGAUCCAUACAUUGGAUUCCCGAUUCGCAAGUUCUUAUUGUCCUCAAAUAUUACGAACUAUUACGUAUUAAAGUUUGGUGCCGAUCCAACAGUCAGAUCGUUGUUAGUUAGAAUAUUCAAGUGGCGGACCUUAACGAAAAUAUACUCAAACGACGGAAAUUCAUCAAUCGAACUUCAUAUAUGGAAUUGGGGUAUCAAAUUUAGCCUAGGAAGGUUAAAGGAUGCCUUGGCCCACGUGCCACCGCAAGUGGCGGUCAGCCGCCCCGACUUGCCGAAAAAUUCACUAUUUCAAAAAAAUUACCAAAUUUCACAAAAAUGUAGAGCAAGUCAAGGGGAGCAAUUUUCAUAUUUGGGUCGAAGUCCAAUUCGGUCGGGAAAAGCUCCAAUUUCACUCAACCCGUGGGAAACCCUAGAAUGGGUUAACUCCGAUUCUCCUUCCUCGGUGUUCCGACGCCCCUACAACUGGUUGAGUCUUGUUCUUGGGUCCAAGAGAGUUGAUUAAGGGUGGUUAUGGGUGGUGUAACUCACCGGAACGGGGGAAUCGUCGUCGAGCACCCUUGGGUUCUCUGGCACUAUUCUACACGAAAUUGGACUAAAAAACCUUCGAUCUUGGGCGGGAAUGGUAGAGGGGAGGUUGAGGAAGAGGUUGUUGGUGGUGGAUGUGGUGUAUCAAUGGAAAAAAUGGCAGAAGCGCAGGAUUUGAACCGGGUUCAAACUGGUUGUGGGUGCACAGGCCGACGCGAAGAGGGAGGUCUCUUUUCUUUUCUUUUUUCCCUGAUUGGUUGCUAACCCCGCCGCCCCAACUGAUUGGUCCCUUUUUCUUAAAUCAGAUUGGUCCAAUAGUCUGAUUGGGCCGAAAUUUACUCACACAUGAUAGGCCAAAUUCCCACAUGGUGGGGGUUUAACUAAUUUAAAAACUAUAGUUUGGUAAAAUGACUUCAAAUGUCCGUAGCUACCGUUAUAAUCCGAACUUUCAAACGGCUUCCGCCUAUGCGUUCGUGGUUUUGAGAUCUAUUAAAAAACAUUACUUGUGACCUUCGAAGGUCUACGGAUUAUAAAUAAUUAUUUAUCAAAAAUUCAACUUUUUACUUAAGUAAUUAAAAUAUAAAAUUAAUUUAAAUUCUCAAAAAAUAGUAUAAAAUCUCAAUAAUACAAACAUGUAGAUUAUAACAAUGAAAUCCAAGAACGGGAUUUCACAUAUAUUUUGUACGUGAUUAUUAUGAUUACUUAGGAAUUGAUUAAUGUGAUUAUUUUAUACUAGUGACACAUUAUACAGUUUGCAGAUUCGGUCUAAAUAUUUGAUCUAUCUAGUCUUACCUUUUCAUAAUGUAUACAGUCAACCACUUGCAAGAGAGGUCAUUAAUGACGCUAACCUCAAUGAAGAUUAGCAUUGAGCAAAAGCUUUUUUAUUUUGGGAAAUUGUGGAGCCAAAAAUAUUUCUAAAAAUCAUAAAGAUGACACGUGAAUUUUUGUCCGAAGAAGAAAAAAAUGUCUUCAUCUCACGCACAGUUCAACAUCCCUAGAGACUUAAGCAGCUGAUUACAACACCACCAAGCUCCCCAGCUCAUGGCAUGAAAAAUUGAAAGACAUUAAUGAUAUGAUUAAUCACCAAAUUCUAUAUUUAAUACAUUCCUGAUUGAAAAUCAACUCAAACAAGUAAGAAGUUCUCAUCACAAUCAGUCAAGAAUAGUUACUUCAUUAUCCCAGUAUAUUAUCUCCUAAUUAAUGUAUUCGGGAUAAUUCUUUCCUUAUCCAUCUUAUGGAUGACACACCUUUGUCAAUGGGAAGCCAACACAUGUAGGGCAGAACCCUACCAUGCCGGCCACCUCCCUAUAUAUACUAUGCAUCAUUUUUUGGUAUGCUUUUGCUACACAAUUAAGCCAUAAACACUACCUCUUUUCAGAGAUACUGACCUAAGCAUUGGAGAUCCAUUGGCUAACACUCCCCCCCCCUCGACGGCCACCGCGGUACCCCCGCUUUGGUCCUUAGUCAAAGCUAUUUUUUUUUUUUAAGUAUAAAUUCAUCAAGACUAAAGACGGUAGAUUCUUACUACCACAAAACUGAUGUCCCUUACUUCAAAGUUAUGUGUAGGACAUAAAUCGUAAUAUAAAUAUAUAGUAUGUAGGAUGUUAGAAAUAGAUGAGUGGGUUUCAUCUUCUCAGUUUACUGGAAAUGGCAACAUUGUGUCUUCCACGCGAAAGUUGAAUCUGUCUUCUUAGUUUAAUCAAGUCUAGUGUGGUAUUAUCGUGGCUUCCACACGAAAGUGGAAUACUUUUCUUAUUUUCCUUUAAAUUAUUGCAUCGUGAAUCACUUUACUUUAGAUGACUGUCAAGCUAAUUAGGUCCAAAAGUUUGGUACCCUUUUUUCGUUCAAACAUGUUAGAUAUUUCCCCAGCUAAAUACGUCGAAGGAGAGAAUCACACACACAUAAAAAGUGAAACGAUUGUUCGAUAACUAUUUUGCAUAACAAAACUGGUGGAUGAACAAGUAUAGUUCAUAUCUGCAUAGUUGCGUAUAUACUAGUGCAUAAUAAGUUGCAAUUUUAUUGAGUAAGACGAUGAUACAAAAAUAUUUGUGGGCAUGAUCGAAAUUAGCAUAUAUAUAUAUAUAUAUAUAUGGACUAUAUAAGCGGCAACAUUAUUCAUUAAAUAAGUUAUCUUUACAUCGACAUGCAUGCAAUUGCAAACAUAAGUGUCUUCGGGUCCCCCCAUUAGCUUCACUAGAUGGUGUUCCUAGAUUUAAAGUAUUUUUUUCACUAUGUACAGUAGCUCGAAAAGCAAGCUGUGGAGUAAUAGUCUUUGUAUUUUAGCUCAAUUAGAGUUUUGAUUUCUGAACUAAAAAUUCAUAAGUAUUGAUCAUGUUGACUAAUUCAAUUAGAACUUUCAUCUAUUUUUCACCUCUUUAAAUUCUUAAAUUUGGAUGAAAAUUUUAAUGGAGUUAGCCUAAAGAACUGUUGUUCCACAAUAUAACAAGUUCAAGGAUUCUACGUUAAAAAUCUCUUUCUCUCAACAUAGUCCGAAUUGAGAGUAAUUUGCUAAGAGCACUAGGUUUUGGUCUUAAAAUUAUGUGUCAUCAUAGGUGUUUAUACCAUAUUUAGGGCCUCGUAUACUUGGGACUUGGGCCUUGUAUUUGGGCCUCACACUAAAGCCCAUACUUUGUAAAAGAGGAGGAGCCCCUUAUUCUAUAAAAGGGGACUCCUCCCCUCAUUCUAAAGGGGGAAGAGAGCCAAGCCAUCCUACAAGGCUCAAAACUCUCAUACAUUUAGAGAGAGAGUCCUCAUACAAUUCAAGAGGCUCUCCUUCCUUCUCCCCCACCCUCCUUUCUCCGAGGGACUUCCCCAAACACUUGUAUCCAUACACAUACAGAGAAACAAUAUCAACUACAGUGUGGACGUAGCCCAUACAUUGGGGUGAACCACGAUAAAAUCCUUGUGUUCUUUGUGUUCUUCGUGUUCUUGAGCGUUUGUGCAGAUUCACGGUCGGAUUUACGUUGUACCAAGACCAUCCGGUUUUGUGCAUCAACAAUAGGUUUAACAAAUUGGCACACGCACAUUGUAUUCCUAAGACCACUAAUUAUUAUAUGCUACAAACGUCAUUGGCUACUACAUAAAUAACGAAGUUAACCUAAUUUAUGAACUAAUAACCUAAUUUAUGAACUAACCAGGGCUCACAAUGUCCAGCCGGUAAAAAUUAGGUCACAAGGGGAAUGUCAGUUAAUUCCAGGCAUGGAGUAUUGGAAAUCCUACGUAGCCCACAAUUUGAAAAGUUUCGAUUGCUACCAGCUAGUUAAAGCACUUCGAUUUGCAUCAAAUCAAAGUAGGAUAAAUUAAAUACAAACUUAAUAAUUUAUAGCUUACGAUGAUGGUGGACUACACCUUUUCAGAAUCUAAAAGAGUGCUACCAAUUAUGUAUGCACUCUUUCAACAGAUUGCGAUGCUGUCAUUCAAUCAUAGGCAGUUCCGUUCACUAUGAUAUUUCUAAAAUUUAUUUUGCUUCUUGUGUGUCAGAUUUUUCCACUCUUAAAACUUAAAAGAACGAGUUUUGUUCUCUCUCUCUCUCUCUCUCUCUGUGCGUGUGGGUUGAGCAAUAUACAAUUUUUUAUUUUCUUUAUUUUUUUUAAUUUGGGAGGGAUAGAGGCGGAGGAAGAGUACUUAUAUAGUGUAGGAAGGGCUUGGUGUGCAAGUGAGCUAUCUAUCAAAAGGAAGUUGGUGAAAAGAGUAUGUUUUGCAAUAUUGCUAGCUCUCUCAGCACGAAGAACAAUAAGCGCAAAGGUAUACAAGUUACUUCCAAAAGAUAAACUCCUUCUCAUUCUUUCUAUCUCUAGACAUUUCCAAAUUUGGAUAGGUACAUAUAUUUGUUGCUUUCAAACUCUUUCUCUUCUAUGCAUGCAUGCAUGCUUGAUGCUUCUCACAAUUAGAUUAAUAAAAAAAAUGAAAAUUUUGAAAUACGUCAAAUUUUUAGUAACUUUUGACUUUUGAAAUAGGUCCAAUUUUUAGUUACUUUGGACCUAUAUCAAAAGACACCAAUUUUUUUUUGGUAAAACCUCGACGAUACGAGGAGAUAAUAUGCAUAAUAUGUAUGCAUGCUUCUUAUAAUUAGAUCAAGCUUAUUGUGUCUCAUUCUUUCAUAUUUUUCUUGCACAUAUGCAUAAUCUGCGUUGUUUUAUAUAUGCAUGCAAGCCUACAAAAUUCUAUGGCUUUGGGGACCUGCAAAACACAAUUGCACCCCACAUUAUUCGAGCCUAUACGAAUCCCGUACUGGACGGUCAAGUACGGAAAUAUCGGUUAAUAUAACUAGAGUUUUGCCAAUUUUUGAGAUAAUAAUUAUGGACCUGCAAUUGGAGAAUGACCAAGUUCGUGAAUAUUGUUAUCACAUGAUAUUCUAUAUCGAUAAUUUAGAUGUAAAUUUGUGUCCACAUGACAUUAUAUUAUUAAUUCAAUUUGAUACGUUAACAGUGUACAUGUGCUAUAUAAAUUACGCUAAUGAGAAUGACCCAUAUAUCCACAACUAACGCCCCGCAUGCAAAUCUUUUGUGAUUGAUUUCGUUGCAUUAAUUGUUUUCUGUUUUUGGCUUUUCCUUUCACAAUCACAGUGCUGCUUGCUUACCUUACUUCCACUACAUACAUUCUUGGCCAAAUCCACUACUGUAUAAUAUAGAAUUAUAUGCAAUAAUAAUCCCUAUACUUAAAAAAAUAAAUAUAAAUAAAAAUUCCUCAACCAGGACUCAAAUAGUCACUUUCGAACACUCCUUCCUUAAAUUCUUUAAAAAAAAAUUUAGUUUUUUUUUUGGUGAACUAAAAAAAAAAAAAAAAAAAAAAUUAGUUUGAAAGCAGAGAUGCAGACUGAAAGUGCAUACAGAAACUUUCUUAUCAUAUAGAGACCUCAGUCAUAACAAAUUUUUCAUGAUAUCUGGCUUCAUAACAAACUUUUAUGAUAUAUAGCAAAUUGAAACGAACGUAAAUGAUAAUUGCUUACUUGAAUAUUGUGAUUAUUUUAGGUAAGUGAUGAUUUGUACCUUUAACUCUUACAAUGGUGACAAAUAAAAAACAAAUUAAUAACUUAGCCACUUAGUUCUAUAGUCUACUGAUAUUUUUCUCCACUUGUAAGUGAGCCGGUAUUUCUCUUUCACUUGUAAGUGAGCGGUCUUAGGUUCAAUUCUCGCCAAAAGCGAAUUUGAACCACAUUAUUGUUAGCUCAUUAUGAGGCUUAGACCACUCCCCAACCCUUUAGUGUAGAUAAUAUCGUUUGUUCAAAAAAAAAAAACUUUAUUUUCUUGGUUUUGGAAAGACACUCUUAUUUGUAUUUAAAAACAAAAAUUCUUAAAAUAUAAUUCAUGGAUUAAUCUCUACUAAUUAAUAAAACACUCAUUGUCAACUAAAACCCUAUGAAAUUAUCAAUUUAACCCUCUAAUUAAAACAGAACAUGAAUAAGAAAUAUGGGGUAGAAAUGUAAUUUCACACAACCAAAUUUUGCUGUUUUUUUUUCAAAGUCUCACCUACAUGUAAUUCUAACAUAUAUCUAAUUAAAAAAAAAAAAAAAAACUUCCCACCCCCACAUUCUCUCUCACUCUCUUCCUCUCUCUCUCCUUUUAUUUCAAAAACAAAAAUAAAAAAUUUACUCACACAUUUGUGUAUGCCCAUAUGCUAGUACUUGGUUUAUAAAAAUACAGACGAGGGAGAGUUGAAUAUAGGACUAGGUGCACGAGCAAAAUGUAUUUAACCACUUGAGUUAAAAAUUCUUUUGUAAGUUAGAUCUUAAAAAUUUAAACUUUUAGAAAUAUCUAUUAACAAUUCAUUCAUGAGCAUAUUCUAUUAAAAAGAAAAAAAAUUCAUAUAUAGCCAAUUAUGUUAUCGUCGCUUAAUGUAUCGAUUCAUGUGUAAUAGCAUGAUUGCAUGUAUUAUAACCGUACGAAUAUAUAGCAAUGCUAUGUUCUCACCCAGAAAAUUACUUGUACAUAGUCCUCGAUUAAUUAAAGGGAACUUUAACGAAAAGCUCUCAGUAUUGUUAACUUUAACGAAAAAUCAUAUUUGUACACUAAAAAGUUUAUCUUGAUACUAUUCACUUUACUUUUUAUUUUGUUUUUAUCGUUAAAACUCAAAGUUUUCAAUUUUUUUUUAUUAAUUUUCCUUUAAUUAAACCUAGUUUCGCAUAGAAACAAGUCGAAUAUUCUUUUCAAGCAAGGUUCACACGACAUGGACAUUAGGAUCAUUCUGUCUCUCUCUCAUCUUCAUGUGUGAUUUAUUUCGAUGAUAAAUAAGACUUCAGUUUUGUUGGUACUCGAUAUAGAAAACACCUGCCUUAAUGCUUUGCGGUACUAACCAGGGAUUGUAAACCCGAGGGAGGUAUAUAUGUGCAGUAUCCAUGUUUGGUCACACCUACCUUGUCCCUUCCCUCUUCGAAUUUGUGCCAUUGUAAUAUUAUAUGGUUGGCUUAAAGGUUACUAAAAAAUAUUUGUCCUUGCCAAAUCCCGUUUAGCCAAAUGGCAAAAUUGAAACACUUUUUCAGGCACAAGAUUCAAAUGAGAGAUUUUUCAGUGUGAUCGGAACACGGAAUACAAAUAGUAAAAUAUGCGUGUUAACAAGUUAAUAACUUAAAUAUUAAAAUUUUUCACAACUUAUAUAAAAACACGUGAUGUACCACUUGUAUUUUAUUACAAUAAAAAAUUUCUUCAAAGAAAAGGUUAAGUCUUAAAACUACAAAAUUAAUAUUUUAAAUUUUAAAAAGUGUUAUUGCCACUCCAAAAAGUUAUCUUGCACUUCUUCCUAAUUAAAAAUUAAAAAGUAUAUGAUGAUCAUUUUGGAAUCUAAUAAAAAAUCCUUAAACUCAUGUAUAUGUGAAUUACCUGACAAUUAUAUACAUAUUUGUUAGACCGGUCGAAUGUAUGUGGAAGAUGACGUCGCAAUUGCUUAUAAGGUGUUGAAUUACUUUAUAUGUUUUAUUUUCCAAAAAUCUGACAAAUAAAAGGAAAGGAGAUCAUAAAGAUAUACGGACGUGGUAGAAUUUUGACUUUCUUCAUAGUAUCAAUACAGGUCAACAUACAUGUGAACCACAUGCUCCAUAUCACUUAAUUUGUGUUGCCCACAUACUAAUAAGCUUAAACAUUUUAGUGGGUCGGACGUGUGAGAAUGCAAAGAGAUGUCCCAAAUAGAAAGUUUAUCAAUAGUAGUUAAAUAUGCUACACAUAUUUAGGCAUUAUAAGCAUUGGUAACAUGUUUUUUUCUUUUCCAUAAAUUUGGCAUGCAAUUAAUGUUGUCAAAUUAUCAAAUUUAGUCUACAUUAGAAAAUGUCUUACACUCGAGGUUCUACUUCUUCCCCUAAUAUAUCUGUAUGCAAUAAAUUUUCCUUUGAAGCAUUUAGUCCGUUUUCAUUAAUCAUUUUUGUGGUGGAAUCUGCUUUUUACUCUUAGCUCUUGCAUGGAAAGUUCGUAACUGAGUGCAUAAUUCACGAAAGUUGUCUUUGCUCACGCACUUCAAACAAACGUUAGCGGAGUCCUCCAACUUUGAUUAUUGCAUUUUUAUAAACAAAAAAUAAUAAUAUUAGAGAGCUCUUUCUGUUGACUGAUGUUCAGUCUACAAAACAUCAUAACUGAGGAAGGUUUCUAUCAGUUAUAUGGAGCUAUAAAAUCCACCUUGAGCUUUUAGUGUCUCGUGUGCCCUCCUGGAGUCAUUUCUGAGGCAGUUCAUUUACAUAGAAGGUCUAUUUACUUAUUUAUUUAUUUAGUUAUUUUGUGUUUUCCCUCCUACUUUGAGGUCUGCAUUUGAUAUGUGAUUGUGUAUACUUAGGUUUAGCCAAAUUGGCUAUAGCAGUGUGGUCUCCUAAUCUGCACCCAAGUUUGAGUCCCUCUUUCCAUAGUUUAGAUAAUUUAGUGGAAAUUAUCCCGUUGUUUGUCAAAAAAGAAACUGAGGUUGGAUUGUCAGAAAGUACUACAUUUGUAUAGUGAUAUCAAAAGCUCAAGUGAAGUGACCUCAUUAGGAAGUUUUAUUUUAUUUUGGAAUUGCAGUAUCAACUUAAGCAUGGCUGAGGAGCAACAUUUGCAUGAGCCAGUGAGCAAGUGGAAGAUGCCUGUUGGUGUUUUCUUCAAAGAUGCAAGGUAUACAGUUUCACAUUUACCAUAUUUUAAUUAGCCCCAGUUUGGGGUUGAGGUGAUUUUAAAAAAAGCUCCUAUGAAAAAAAGCUGGGAGUGUUUUUGGUGUUUGGUAAACUUAAAAAAAAUGGCUUAUUUUGGAAGCUGCUGUGAGAAUAAGCUGAAAUCAAAGGAAAAAGCUGAAGCUGCAAUUUGUAGCUUUGGAAAACUGGCUUUUUUUUCAAAGCACACAGAACUACAGUGCUCCUUUAAUGAAAAGACCCACUAUCAGACUGCUUUUUUUUCCAAAGCACUUUUACAUAAAAGUUUACCAAACACUCUGCUGAUUUAUUUCACAGCCGCUUAUUCUCACAGCACAGCCGCUUAUUCUCACAGCAGUUUUUUUUCAAAGCACAGCAAUACCAAACCAGCCCUUAGUACUCUCUCUCUAAUUAAUUUUCUGCUUUGGGGACAGCCUUUUCUAUCUUAAUUUAAGGUUGACAAGGGUAAAGUACUAAAGUUUUUUUUUUUUUUUUCCACGUGAUUGCAGGCGUGUUUUCAAAUGGGAUACACUCGGGAAGGAGAUACUGCAGAUUGCAUUCCCUGCUGCUCUCGCUGUAGCUGCUGAUCCAGUUGCUUCUUUGAUUGACACAGCAUUCAUUGGUCAUAUAGGUACAUUUGCCUUUGCUUUAUCUUGAUUUUUAGAGGAGCUUGCAUUGGAAUGCAUAAAUUUUUAGGAAAUAAUUUUGUUUGUAAAUAAUUGUCCGCAUGUUCACAGUAAGAUAAAAAUUGUAUGGAGUUUGGCAACAUUGAUCAGUGUUGUACUAAAAACUCAUCAGUUACUGUAUUAUUGAAAGACACGGUUAUUAGUUCAUGUUCGACUGAUCUUUGUUUCACGUAGAUUGACUCGAUAGAUGAAUCUUUUUGUCCUAUAGGUCCAGUCGAGCUUGCGGCAGCAGGAGUAUCUAUUGCCCUGUUCAACCAGGCUUCAAGGAUUACUAUAUUCCCAUUAGUCAGUAUAACAACUUCCUUUGUUGCCGAGGAAGAUACUGUUGCAAAAAUGAACACGGAAUCUGCGAAAGGUGAGAAGCGGGAAAAGAAUUCAGACAUGCUUGAUGACAUGGAAAAAGGGGCUGCCAAACCAAAAGGAGAUGAUACACCUCAAAAUGGUAAGCAUCUAGGAAAAUUUUCAACUCAAAACAGUAGGGUGGAAAAGGCUUCAACUGAUGAUAUUGAGUGUGUGGAAGCGGAAAAAGGUGCUGCUGAAGCGGAAGGUGAGAGAUCAGACGAGGGAUUAGCUAAAGAUAUUGAAUCAAAAAAAGUCAUAUUGGAAAAUGUUAAGCUUGAGAAUGCAGAGAAAGGUGCUGCUAAAAACAGUGUUCAACUAGAAAAUGGUACUCUUUCUCUCUUUUGAUCUCUAGGCUCUAGCUCACUGCCAUUAGAACCCAAAGAUCAAUAAAUAUCUUAAAACAUAAUAUGCAUUGGUGGUUUCUUGAUUAGGUUCCAAAACCACUAUGGAAAAGCGUCCUUCGGAUCUUAUGAACAACAGUGUGAAGACGAAAAUCAGGAAAAAGAAGCGACAUAUUGCUUCAGCGUCAACAGCACUCAUCUUUGGGGCAAUAUUAGGCCUUUUUCAAGCUAUAUUUCUCAUGCUUACAGCCAAAGUUCUCCUUGGUGUGAUGGGUGUGAAACCGGUAAGUGAUUCAUUUUUGUCAUCUCCGCCUAUAUCGAAUGAAGGAAAGAAUUACAGCUCUUGUUAUGGAGCAGGGUUCCCCUAUGCUAGCCCCGGCACAGAAGUACUUGAGAAUAAGGUCGAUUGGUGCACCUGCAGUUCUUCUCACAUUGGCCAUGCAAGGGAUCUUCCGUGGCUUUAAGGAUACAAAAACUCCUUUAUAUGUCAUUGGUAGGCCAAAAACUCUGUUCCGAUUUCUCACCCCCCAACUACUUUGAUUUGUGUUCCUCUCUCAUUAUCCUCAGAUAUGAUUAAACACAAGAAAUAGAAACAUAUCCUAUAUGAAAUCAACCCUAUAGUGAUGGAGAAGUCUAAUUACUCUAGUUUAUUUGUUCAUUUGUAUCGUAUUGUAGUUGCCGGAUACGCAGUUAACAUUGCCCUGGAUCCAUUACUCAUCUUUGUCUGCGGUAUGGGAAUCAGAGGUGCAGCUAUGGCACAUGUUAUUUCUCAGUGAGUAGUGUCACCCUUGUCAUGGUAUUAUUUUUUAUAAUUGCAUAUUUUCAACUGCUGUUGAAAUCUUGUUGUUCAUACAUUUUUAUCUAAGAUUUGGUGUGCAUCUUUUCUAAUAUUAAAAUGUUUGAAACCGUUUUAGGUACUUGAUGGCGCUGGUACUCUUCAUAAUCUUAACAACAAAAGUUGAUCUCUUACCUCCAAGUCUUAAAGAUUUGCAGUUUGGCCGGUUUCUGAAGAACGGUAAUGAGCUCAAUUCUUAAUAUCUCACUCCAGUAUUAUAGUUAGCAUAAUUCAUCUGACCUCCAUCCCUUAAUAUUCCAAUCAUGGUAAUUGAAAUGCAUAAUUAGACAAAUAUUAUGGUUUUUUGAGUUACAAUUUUUCCUUGAAUUUGGGCACAGGAACUCUAUUGUUGGCUAGGGUGGUUGCUGUUACAUUCUGUGUGACCUUGGCCGCAUCCCUGGCAGCGCGGCUGGGUCCAACUCCGAUGGCUGCAUUUCAGACUUGCUUGCAGGUCUGGUUGACAUCAUCUCUUCUUGCUGAUGGUUUGGCUGUUGCAGGACAGGUAUUGUUUUUUCUCAUUUAAAACAAAAAAAAUAAAAUGUAAGCGUGACUUAAAAGGCAGAAAUGUUUACUACUUAUUCAAACAAUCUUUGUGUGUAUUUUCUCAUUAGGCUAUUCUAGCAUGUGCUUUUGCUGAGAAAGACUACAAAAAGGCCACAGCUACCGCAACCCGGGUUUUGCAGGUACUUCAUUCUCUACACAUAGUGGAAAAAUCUAUAAAUUAUAAACCCUUCAUCAUUUGAACAACCCAUUUAUUUACUUUUUCACUAAUUUGUGAAAGAAUAUGCUUUGCAGAUGAGCUUUAUUCUUGGUGUGGGUCUUGCUUUUGUUGUUGGAAUUGGUCUGUAUUUUGGAGCUGGAGUAUUUUCUAGAGAUGUUAACGUUUUGCACCUUAUAAAGAUUGGCCUCCCGGUAUUUAAAUUUAGCUCUUCUAAAGCCAAAUCUUCAUUUAUUAUAAUUAUUACUGUUAUUUUCGAGCAUGAAAAGAAUCAUCAUCUAAUUUGUUUUCUACUCACCAGUUUGUUGCAGCUACGCAACCGAUCAAUUCGCUGUCUUUUGUGUUUGAUGGUGUGAACUUUGGAGCAUCUGAUUUUGCAUAUGCUGCAUACUCAUUGGUAAGUUUCUUUGCAAUAAACCUUUCCAAAUUUCCUAUUCACAAGUUGUGUUACUAGCUAAUAAUCCAAAUUAUUCUUUUGUGCUUCUCAGGUUCUGGUUGCCAUAGCAAGCAUUGUAUCCUUGUUCCUCCUCUCAAAAUCCCAUGGUUUUGUUGGAAUCUGGAUUGCUUUAACCAUUUAUAUGGCGUUACGUACAUUUGCUGGUGUAUGGAGGUAAUUAUCCUUCCUUCUAUUUUUUUAGAACUAACAAUGGGAGUAGAGAUUUGAAAUUGUUAUCUCUCUUACAAUAUCAGAAAGAGAAAUACCACUAGACCAACUAUAAUUUAUUUAUCUUAGCAAUGGAUUGAGGAAAGGAAUUCAAAAUUGAGACCUCUUCCAACGAUCCUUUCCACAUUAUGAUUUGAAUUACUUGAACUGAGCUAGGUUGCUAUAUACUACAUUUGCAGGAUGGGGACUGGAACUGGACCUUGGCGUUUUCUCAAGGGUCGUUCACCACAGUAGGUUUUAUCAGCCUAGUAUUACAGGAAUACUUGAGACAGUCAACAUAUCCCAUGAUUAACCCUAAACCCUUGUAUUUUUUCACUCCUGUUAUUAGUACAGGCAUAAAAACUCGACUUAGUUUUUAUGCAUUUUUUUCCUCAUUUUGUAUCAUGGUGACCUGGCAAAGGAUGUUUGUGUUUUAUGUAAUAUUGCACUAUAUUGUAUUUGGUGUCUCUCUUUGGAGGAGAUGGCCUAAUUGAAUGAAACUCAAUCUUUACUCUAUCGAUCUACCAAUGACAAAAGAAGCAAAUAGAAGAUCAUUCAUCCCGAACCCCCUCUCUGUGUAUAAUAUUAGCUAAUUUAUCUAAUAUAAAUUACGUAAAGCUUAAUUCGAACUUGGAUAUCUCUCUCAGAGGAAUAUUGGCUAAUUAAUUUAAUUCCAACCACCACACCUAUCUGAGGCAAUGUUUCCUUCUUAGUCUAGUUUUAUACCAACUUUAUCGUUGGAUUCUCCUAGCAUUAUCCUGCCCUCUAUGGCUUGACUCUUAACAAUUUACUGUUUUCUUAACAUUUCAAAGUGUAUCUACAUUUCAAUGUUUCAAGUUAUAUAUAGUAGCUCAUCAGUUCACCAGCUUUUUGUUAAAUGCUUGUUAAUCUUGCUUCAACUAUGAAAUGAUUACAAUAAGUUGUUCGUUUCUAUUUUCUUCCACUUACGCUCCUGGGCAAAGAAUAACACACUGGAUUUAAGUCCUUGGUCUCAGAGACAUAAAAAUUAACCUAAUUAAAUUAGCGUCUCAUUCAGUGCUCAAUCAUUUUGGUUAAAGAGUCAGAUCUAAUCGCAAACCUACAAACCACUAGACAUUGGCUGUAUGUUGACAGCCUCCAACACUGGCACGCCUACUCUCAUACUUCCUCUCAAGCCAUCUCUUGGCACUGAGAAAGAAAGCAACACCCAAGACAAGUCACAUGUUGACAUAAGUCAGGUUCUGUCUGAUUUUGACACUAACACGCCCAGAUCUACUCAUUCAUUCAUGUUAAUUAUUUGUAUCAUUACUAAUUGAAUUUUCAAAGGUUUUUGGAUGAUGAUCCAUUAUAUGAUUGGAGUGAGAACCUAAUGGAACUUUUUGGUAUUCCAAGCACAAGCAUAUUCAAUUUAUAGUGUCAAUUUUAAAUGAAAUUCAAAUUUGAAAAGGCUCAUCUUCACCAUACUUAGAACAUGAAAGACAUUAUAAUCACCAUGGACGGAGCCAAUGAAGGCUCACUGGAGGUAGAUGCCCCCACUCAAGUUAUUCGUUUGUUUAGUUGUAGACUACAAUUAUAUAAUAUACACGAGUUAUUUUUUAAGAAAAUAUAUGUAUUUAAUAUUCAACAUACAUUCAUUCUACUUAUACUUCAUAUCAAAUAUUAUAUGAGCAAUAAUGCUCUUGUUCUGUCAUUCAAACCAAAAAAAACCCCCUCCCGCCUAUCAUGUACUUAUAUUUUUCUCAUCACUUUGUCAUUUUCCACUACUAUAUUGAAAUUUUUGUAAUAUUGGAAUUAUGAUAUAUCAUCAUUUGAAACAAUCCUUAAUAUCAUAUUGUGUAUAACCAUACUAUAAUAAGGUUUUCUUAGUUGUUUUCAGUUGCCCCCACUAGAAGAAAUUUAUGGCUCCGUUCCUGAUAAUCACCCUCAUAAUAUUCAUUGGUUCGAUUGUAAGUCACAUUUUUUUAGUCUAGCAUAGGCAUGGCUAGAGGACGACCCUCAAACAUUCAUGGCUACCACAAUUUAUUAAAAAGGAAAAAAUUACAACGAGGGGACAAGUAGCCAAAACCGAGAAGAAAAAGACGAACAGGUUAGGUAUAUGGUUAUGCCCAACCACUCUCUACAACAACAAAAAUAAGAAACAAGAGUUGGAGCCUUGGAGGUGAAUCCCACCUAGAGCUCAUAGCACCAUGAUUUUCCAAAAUAUAUGCGGCUUAAUUAACUUCUCAGAAAAUAUGAGUCAGUGUGAUUCUACUGAAUUUACCCUUUUUAAUUUGUGGAGAUUCUUAAUUAGCUUAGGGUUUCCUUAAGUUGGUAGUUUUUUUAUGCAUGUGGAGAUUUUCAUACGUGAUUUUCAGAUUGCUCUUUCAUGCAGUUCUUGUGAGACUGCCCGUCGGGAUGGACGGAGGACCAGACUGACUCAGUCUCACCGCAUAUUUUGCAAGUUAAUUAGCCAACCUCAAUAAUGUUCAUAACUUUUUGAAACUAAAAUAAUAUUGAUAGAUUGACAAAAAAAAAAAAAAAACAUAAUUAUUGUUAGUUUUAUUCACAAUUAUUACAUGUUGCUGCGAUCUCCAUCACUAUAACACAGCACCACAUAUUUGAAAUUGGUACAUACACCCCCAAAAAAGUUAACUCGUCGUUUAGGGAAGGAAAUAGCUAGGAAAGCAACCUUAACACACUUAUUCCUUUCUUUUGUGCGCUCUUUUAACUUUUUGCUUUGAAUCAAACUAAUAAAAAUAAAGUGAAUUUUACACUUUCUUUCUAAUUUCUCACUUUUUUUUUUAUAUUUAUAAUCAUAGAAUAGAAUAAAAUCAACGGCUAGAAUUACACUGGUAUGUAAGACCAUCAUUAAAGGAUAUGUCAAAGUCAAAUAGGAUUGAAAGAUAUUCGGAUGUUAUCCAAUGGAGAUGUCAUACAUGAUGUGAUAACCCAGUUAUCUAGCUCCUUAUUUUUUAGCUGUAUUUUUAUUAUAGCAAACAAAGAAAGAGUCAAAUAUAUAAUUUUAAUUUUAAUUCAUGAGUCCUAUUGACAUCCAAUAAAACAAAAACUAAAAACAAUUUUAAUUAUUUUUUAAUAGCUAAUGUCCAAUAUAAUAAUAAAAUGAAUAUUUGACACAUUCAUUAAAAAAGAAGAAAAUUUAACAUUUGUAUUUAAUAGACCAUAUCUGCUAUCAGAUAAAAUUUUAAAAUAUUAGAUUCGACAUCUCAUUUUGGGAUGCUCUAAGAAACUAAAAAUAUUGUGGGAAAAUCACUUCCCAAUAAAGUACAUAUGGGUAUGCACAUAAGAGCAUCGGUAAUGAGAAGUAUAAAAUACCUUGAAAUGCGUAUUUUACAUUUUUUUUUUGUUAGCCUCGAAAAACAUUCCAAUUGAGAAAUGUAAAUUAUAUGUUUUGAAAACUUCAAUUUACAUCUUUUAUAUCUUUUGAUAGUGGGUUCCGUCAAUUAAUGAGAGAAAAUUAAAUAGUAUCUCAAAUUUACAACUCUUUCAUUGACGUAGAACUUAUUUACAUAUCAUGAAAUGUAAAAUGAGAUAUAAAUAUGGUUUUUUCUCCCCAAAUUUGCAUCUCCCAAUUGGAGAUGCUCUAAGAAGAAAAAAGUUGUGCACAUAUCAUGUGUAUUCAAUUGAGAUUUAAAAGUUCUUAAAGAGUCAUAAAUUCACGAAGUUUGAUAGAGUUCUAGUGGAGUUUUAUAGACUCCAUGUGAAUUCAGUCAAAAUCUUAGAGAAAGAUGCUUGAUUUCCUAAAUCCUAAUAUACCCUAUAAAAUUCUUCAAAAUUCUUAAUUUUUAAAAUACUUUAACAAUCAACUUAUAGUUGAAUACAAAUGGAGUUUAAUAGACUUUUUUAAAAUCUUGAUUAAAUACAUGCAGAUUCCUAUGUGGUUUUAUGAACUCCUUUAAAUUUUUAAUUGAAUACCUAUGGACUUCCUUUCAUCCAUAUCCACUACACGAAUCUCAAAAUUCAAACUCAUCUAUCGGUGAUAAAUAAGGUGGUGCACACCAAACUAAAUGGUGGUGAGCAAAAAUGCUUCCCAAGUUAUUUGGUUUAACUUAAUAAAUAAUUUCGUAUAUUGUGCUAAGUUAAUAAGCAUUUAAUUUUCUAGCAUAGGUCAGUUGAAGCAACUAUUCGCUUCCAUUAAGGUAAAUAAAAACUAUUUUUUCUCUAAAACAUAGGUCAAUAACACUUGCUCAAAUUUCUAUUCAUUGACCGCUUCUUGAAAAAACAUAGGUCAAUAACACUUGCAAAAGUUUCUAUUCAUUGACCGCUCCUUAAAAACACAAAAUCUUAAUUGAUUCAAAAUGUAAUUGCAUUUUGCUCAAUAUUUCGGUCAUUUUAUCAAUAUUUCUUCAAAUAAACAAGAGUAGUGCUAUGCUAAUAAUUUAUUUGUAUUAUCUUUCUAAUAUAGGUAGGACAACUACCACAUUUAAGUUCUAUCUCUAUUAAAAAUAUAGUACAAAUGGUAUUAAUAAAUAAUAUAAAUAAAAUAAGCAUAAAUGGUUUACUACAUAAAGUGGGUACAAAUUUCAUUGUUAAGAGAAUGAUAGAAACUAUAUAUAAUUAACAAAAUCAGAUACAAACUCCACUACUUGUGACAUACCCCAGAUAACAAUUCGUUUAUUAUAUAAAGUGGGGACAAAUUGCCUUGUUAAGAAUAUGAUAGAAACUAUAUAUUAUUAACAGAAUCAGAUACAAUCUCCACUACUUGGGCACACCCCAGAUACCAACUAAUACCUCCAAAUCCAAAACAAACACAUCUCUAAAUCGCCGCCCUUUCCACCUCACAAUAUUUAGCAUUAAUCAUUUUCUACAAUCAAUUAAAAAAAAUGAAAAAAAAUGCACCCUUGUUCUUCUUCUACAUGGUUGAGGUAAUUAAGCCAAAAUCAACAUGCCAGUCGACGCUGACGAAAUAUAUGAUGCCGCUGGAGUUUGCAUUGGCGUCAUCGCCAUAAUCAUACUCAUAUACUGGAUCUCUUACUGCAAGCGGAGACAAUCUCCGGUUGACCCGUCGGACCAUGACGAGGGCUCCGCAACCAUAGAACAAGGGCUUGAUGAAGCUACAAUAUGCAGCUACCCGAAACUGCCCUACUCCGAGGCCAAGCUUCAAAUGGUUGGUUCAGUUUCAGCGCCUUCUUGCUGUUGCAUAUGCUUGGCAGAUUUUGAUGACACAGAUACAUUGAGAUGUGUGCCUAACUGUGGCCAUUUUUUUCACCAAAUUUGUGUGGAUAAAUGGUUGCAGCUCCACCCUUCUUGCCCGAUUUGCAGAACGUCGCCUCUGGAUCCAUCUGUGGGAUCGAUGAAUACUUCUGAGGUGUAAUUAGUUGCUGAUUAGAUGGAUUGAAGUUUAGGAUUAGUUCAUUUUCUUUGAUGAGUCAAUAUACUCAUGUAUCAGUUGUAAACAAUUUCAAGAAUUAUUGUGCAUCAAGAAACACUGAUAAAAGUUUAAUUUCCAUUUGCCAUUUUUUUAAAUUUAUUAUUCGAAACUAUUACAAUAAUUAAAUAGAAACGAGAGUUUCAAACUCGAAAAAGUAGAAACUCAAUAACAUGUCUACUCAAAUAUUGGGCCACAUGCAUUUAUCAAUUAAUUUAGAUCAAAUUAUGUGGCUUUAAUUUGGUCGCAUCUCUCUUUUCUUGUUGAAUUGACCACACUGUUGAUUUGAUAUUCCAUGAACUCGUGUAUUUAUUUUUUUAAUAAAAGACUAAAAAGAUGGAGUGGAGAAGUAAAGGUUUUUAUAUAUUAAAAAAAUGAUUUAGGUAUACAUUUGUUUGUUUUUGUAAAUUUAUUCUUUUUUGGUUCAUUCAAUUUAAAUGCCAAGUUGCCCAAAAGUAAACAUGAAUCGAAACUCAAGAGUGCAUACAAACUUGACUUGACUUGAUUCUUGACUUGACUUGACUUGAUUGACAAACUUGACUUGAUUCGUAAUUCUUACUAGCAAACUGAUUCUGAUUCAAACUGGUUAGUGUUGAGAGAAUGGAGAGAACCCGUCACUAAACUAAUGAGAUUUCCAUAUCUCAAUAGUAACAAAAAAUGAACAAACACAACUAUCACUCGAGUGAUCACGGAUCCAAGCACUUGAAUAACGAACGAGUAAACUCCACAGCAAAACUCAUCCGUGUGGGCUUCCAACACAAAAAAAAAUGAGCAAACAAGCCAUUUUCUUUUCCUUGCCCAUGUGGGCGUCAAAACCUCCAAACAAAUUUUUUCCUUUUUCCUUUUUUUUUUCUUUUUUUUUCUUGUUUUCUCCAAACAAGUGCAGCAAUCCUCAAAUUUGAUUGCAGGGCAGGGUGACGACCGCGUGCUAUGGCAAUGGGAUUCUAGUGGUGGUUCAAAGCAAACAUUUUCAAUUUUUUUUCUUCUCAAAACUAACACUGAAAACUAAUAUCAAACAAACAACAUGGAUACCUAUCAAGAACGGAUUAAAUCCCGAAAGAUCAAACAUACUCUGAUACCAAGUUGAAUAUCAGAGUGCACGACGAACAAGACUAACAAAAUAAUAGAAAUAUUAUUAAACAAACUGAGAAUGCCGAGACGGCUCCAAAACCCUAAGAGGCUACAUUGUGACUAACUUAUUUCUCAACUGAAUAACAAGCAUGCUAUUUAUAAUAAACUAACCUUAACCCUAAAAGGUAAGAAAUCAAAACCCUAAUGCUAACGGGCUAAGCCCAGAAAACCAAAUAUUCAAAUAAACUAAAAUCCUAAUAUUUUCCAACAAAAGAUAAUAUUGAGUGUACUCAAUAUAAACUGUGGACUUUUUAUCCUAGUAUGAUUCUACUUAGGCAAAUUUGGUUAUUCACCCCUAUAAAUAAAAGUGGUUUUACAACGUAGAGAGGACCUUCAGUCAACACACAAAUUAACACUCUACGCGAAACUUUCUCAUACCCUAAGAAAUAGUAAUUGCUUCACUAACACGUCAACCUAUAUUCAAUUUGGUUAAACAUCAAUUGAUUGACAACAACACAAAUUCAGUUUGGUUAAAAUCAUUGGAGUCGUAGAAUUAGCUCGGUCUAAGAGUUUCUUCGGUUGGUUAAACAACACCUGCUCCUUUUUUUACUGGUUAUCUAUCCCAAGUUUCAGGUGGCUAAGAAUCUCUAGUUGUUUCAUCGAAAAAGGUCACUUCAUCAACUCUCUCAGUGAAGUGAUCUGUCGGUUCAUUCACAAGUAUCAUUUAGAGUUAGGUCUUCAGAACGCCGAUUCGGCGUACAUAUAUUUUCACAAAUAUAGUUGAAACCUUGUCUUCAUGUUUUAGAGCCCAAUGCCGAGAGUGUUCCUUCCUUAGUCGAAGUUUCUUGGUGUAGAAAUUGAAAGUGUGUUUCAUUAUCAUACCAUCACUUAUUCAUUUGACCAAGCUCGGUAAUGAAUUGGCACACGCGCAUUAACAAUCAUCCAUAGAAAGACGUAGUUAGCUCGUAGAUUACUUCGGCUCAAUACGUGUAAUUUUUAGGGUCAGAGUUUCCUCACACUCUACAUCGUGAUGAUCAAAUUUCCCACACAUAUAACAUAUGUUUGGCAACAUUUCGUACCUUAAGUCCACCCAUUCCCAAUCCUCAUUGCCACCUAGGAAUUUUGUCUUCAUCCCUCACCGUAGCGGUUUGGACACAUCUAAUCCCACCAGAAUAAGCAGCACACUCGCCAAGCAAUCUCCUCCUCUGUUGCAAUCAGUAGUGCAUGUACCCAAAGCUAUCGCAAUCUCUCCCAAUCUCCUCCCCCAUCGCUAGUAUCAUCAAAAUCAGUGGCAGCCUUUUUACUUGUAUUCUUGUGUGGUAAAAAGAAUUUUGUACGGACUGUUGGAUAUAAGUCAACAAUCUGUGAUUUAAAUAUAUGCUAAUAAAUAAUAAAUGCAAUAGGAAUUGACAGAAUAUAAACUAGAAUACGAAUUAUAAAAACAGACAACUUGAAGAUCGAGGCUUGCGUACCGCAAUGUCCUUGAAACAGAAAUUUCGUCCCUACUCUCUGCUUGUAGUUCUACAGACGUCUGCUUCACCAGGAUUCAACGAUCAAAUUAAAAUUCCAGCACCGGAAAAUUUAACUUCUGGCGAAUUUAGUGUGUUUCUCUCAGUAAGAAGGUUUAGGAAUGUAGAAGAUGAAGUUGAUUAUUUUCUGUGUUUUCAAUGCCAUGCAGAUGGAUGUAUAUAUAGCAUAUGGAUGCCUGUUUGCAACAGGUAUGAGAAUGGGGUGUGACUGUUGGGAGACAUCUCUUCAGAAGGGUGCUUUGCUCUGUGUUUAGAAAGAACUCUCAGACUUCAUCUGAAAGGAUGAGUCUUUUCAUAAAAAAUAAAUAAUUAAUUAAAUCCGAAAAAUAAUUAAUUAAAUAAUUUAAUUAUUAUAGCCCAUUUUUUGAUAAUUAAAUAUAUAUUAAUUAUAUAUUAUUUAUAAUUAAUUAUAUAUUAAUUACCAAUUAAUUAAUACACCCCAAAGCCCAACCCCAAGGGUGAGCCCAAUUUUCUUCUCCAAGGCCUAUCUUCCAAUCACUUUCUAUAAGAGAUAAAGCCUUAUAAAGUGUGGAGACCUUGUGGGAAUGGUCAAUGUGGGACAAACUAGGGCUGGGCACGGGCCGGGCCGGGCCCAAUUUUGAAGGAACCGGACCUUACCCGUUUUAAAUAGUAACGGGGCGGGACGGGCCGGGUAAAGAGAUUUUGAGUUUUGGAACCGGACCUAACCCGGCCCGUUUGAAACGGGCCGAUUCGGGGCGGGUCCACGGGUCCAACUUUUUUUUUUUUUUUAAUACAUCAUUUUAUAAAAUGGAGCUGCAGCCUGCCGCUGCACUGCAGUGCACAACAGCACAUAUUACACUUACAAUUACAGAAAUAUUGAAGCACAGAUUGUUGAAGCACAAAUGCACAUCAGCACAUAUUAAUAUGAUCUCAUUUUAACAAUGGUUCACAAACUGAUACCAGUUAAUGCUUAAUCCCAGAUUUCGACCCUUUCCACCCAAAUCAUUUGAACAAAAGAUUUGAAAUUGGAACAUAACAGAGGUCAAGAUUUCAAAACCCAACAAAAUCUCUAAAUCUAGAAAACCUUAAUUUAAUUUUAAAUCCUAAAUCCCUAAAACAUAUUACCUUAACUGAAGAGGACUGUUAACAGAGCUCGACUGCGCUGCAAAUAUGAGUCUGAGUCAGGUGGAUGAGAUGAUUGAUUCAUCGUUUUGAGUUGUUUGACUUCGUCGUUCGUCCAUUCGAGUUCGACAGAGAGACUGAUUUCGAGAAAGUGAGUGAGAGAGAGACACAGCAGCAGCGGUUUAAGAUUACAUUAGAAAACAAGGAGCUCCAGAUCAUCGACCAUGAUUGCAUUCCCCAUCCCAAUUCCUUGCAUGCAUUCAAAAAUUAAAGCCACAUCAAACAAAGAAAUUCGCUAUAAAUUGAAUGAAAAAAAAACGAAGAGACGAUUUCAACUUCCCUGGAUCGAGGUUUGAUAUGGCGGCGGCGGACGGAGCUGAUAAUGGCAGCGGCGGACGGAGCUGAUGAUGGCGGCGGCAGACGAAGCUGGGACAGUGAGAGCGAGUCGGGAUGAGAGAUCGAGUUGGGAAAAAGGAAAAGUGAGUGACUAUGAGUAUAUGAGAACUGAGAAGACUGAAAUGAGGAUAAAACCAAUUAUUCUUGCUAGAAACGGGCCGGGCCGGGGGCCCGUUCCCUCCUAUUUCUAGAACCGCCCCGCCCCGCUAAUUUCUUGUACCCGCCCCGCCCCGCCCCGUUUUGUGUUUUGAAAUUUAGGACCCGCCCCUUACCCGCCCCAAAUCGCGGGUACCCGCCCCGACCCGCGGGUCCAGGACCCGUUUGCCCACCCCUAGGACAAACCCCACAUAAGAAAUUUCUACUCAAAAUUUUCAACAAUACGGACUUUUCAGGUUAUCAGCCUUUCACCUAGAAUGGGGCAAGAUGAAAGAACAAACAGAAUUAACAACUGCUCAAACAUGUUAGACUGUCAUUAAAAUCUGGAGGUCGUUCCAGAUAUAAUUCGACACUUUUUCAUCCUUAAUCCGAUCAAUGCAAUACUGCAAUUCUAGGGUAAAAGGUUUUUCAUUGGUUUAAUAUUUAAUACUUGGUACUGGACUAAGGUGGAACUUCGAAUACCUCGAUGGUAAUUUUAAUAAAUACUAAAUUUGGGAGGUGACGUUUUUCCGAAUCAAUGUCAUUGUUGGGGGGCUUUGAGCUCUGUGUCGGGCCUACAACUUACUCGUGUUUCGCCUCAGUACUCCUUACUUUGAAGUUAGCUUACUUCGGAAAGAUUGACAGAUUAAAUUAUAUUCCGCAAUUAUGAAGGAUGAAAAGAGUAAAGUGUUUUACUCUGACAGGCUUAAUGACUUAAAUAAGCUUCCAAUGCACAUUCUAGAGAAAUUAUUCUAGGAUAAUUCACUCACUGUAUAUUGGUAACUAUCUAUCUUCGAAGUGGAAGCGCAUUCUUAUAAGCAUAGUUAGGGCCAAUUGUGGGGACGAUUUUCUAGGCACAUGAUUGGUGACAAAAAGGAUCGGAAUACACGAAGCCCAUUGAGCGUAGUCUGGUAAGCCAGAAUGAAGACCUAUUAAAGAUAUUACUUGUCCUUCAAGUAAGGAAAUCCUAAUUACUAUCAAAUUAGGAUAUAUUAAGGAUUAGGCAACAUAAUCAUGAUUCUAGUCUCCUGAUUACUUUUCCUACAAGAACUCUCAAAGGUCUCCAUAAAUACACUAGCUUGGGUAUUUAACGGAGGACGGGGGACACAUCUAUCUCUCUCUCAAACUUCUACACACAUAUUCUCUAUGCCUAACAAAGACCCUUACGUGGCCGUCUACGCGUAGACACGUCCAUGGAAAACUCGUCUCCUUAACGCGCCGUCAUAGGCUAUUCGUCAAGGAUGGUCCACUCUAUUCUAUCUUAAAACUACACACGUGGUUUGAUUUCCCUUUAUGUAGGCAGUCCAUUCAAUCAUACCAUCCAAUCAACCUCAUUCUUCCCUCAUCGAAGAUCAUGUGCUAUUCUGACUGGAUUUCACAUUUGCUUGCGGAUGUGCACAAAUUUGGUUUCAACAUGUUUGAUUAUGAUGAGACAUUCAAUAUGUUUGUUAAGCCUGCCAUUAUUUGUCUUGUUCUUAUUUUAGCAGUCACUCAUGGGUAAUCCAUUGGCCAACUAGACGUAAAAAAUGCCUAGCCACUUACAGGAGAAUGUCUUUAUGGUCCAACCACCGGGUUUUGUAGAUCCUCGUCACUCUCAUCGGGUUUGUAAAAUUACACAAGGCUUUUUAUGGUCUCAAAUAAGCUCCCCUAGCUUGAUUUCAGUGCUUCAGUACAUUCAUCAUCCGUCAAGGCUUUGUGCAAUGUCUUGUCGACCUCUCAUUCUUCACUUUCCAUCGUGGUAUAACCCAUCUUAUUUUUUUACUUUAUGUGGAUGAUAUUAUGUUAACUUGUAAUAAUUUUGGUUGCUCUUCGGCUAGAUCUCUUGAGACAUGAAUUUGAGAGACUUUGGUCCUCUUCAUUACUUUCUGGGUCUUGAGAUUCGUCCUACCUCGGUUGGUCUUCAUCUACCUCAAACCAAGUGUGCUAUUAAUUUACUCAAAAAGACAAAUAUGACUGAUUGUAAGCCAUGUAGAACUUCAUUGCCUCUCGUGCUUAGUUAUCUAAUCAGGAUGGCACACCACUUCGGUCUCAUGAAAAUUCCUCAUCUUUUGGGUUCUUUGUAGUAUCCUACUUUGAUUCGCCCAGAUAUCACCUAUACAGUUAAUCAUAUAUCUCAGUUCAUGUCUCGUCUCACACAGACUCAUCUCAUUACUGCUAACGCAUCCUACAAUAUGUUAAGCGUUCCCUGGACCAUGGGAUUUCCUUCCUUUGCUCCUCCAGUCCUCUUCUUUUCUAAUGCUAAUUGGGUUAGGUGUCCGGACACAUAUCAUUCCACUUCAGGUUUUCUUAUAUUUCCCUACACUGAAUUUGAUUUCCUAAAGCUCCACUAAACAGCGGACAGUCUCUCGAUUUAGGGCGGAAUCUGUAUACCAUUCAUUGGCUCGUGCUUGUGCCGAAUCCAUUGGCUUUCCUAUGUUCUGUGCGAGCUUCGUUUUCCUGUUACUUCACCCACCUUUAUGUUUUGUGAUAAUCUUAACACUACUUAUAUAGCUACCGAUCCAUUUUUUCAUGCUCAGAUGAAACAAAUUGAGCUUAACCAUAAUUUGUUCGUAAACAUGUGUAUUUGAAUAUUCACAAAGUCCAGUUUCCAAUCCUCACUUUGAAAUUCUACAUUCCAAACCUGUUGCUCCAAGACCACCAAGUUUAGGGGCUGUUAAUGUAGGAGAUGAAUUCUCAUGAGCUAAGUUUUGUAAAUUCCCAUGAGCUUAGAGCAACUCCACCGUUGCUAAGGCCCCCUAGGGCUAUUCACUAUUUAAUCCACCCAGUGAACAAUAACUGCCCUUAAUAAACAGUAAUUGCAUUUUGUAUCUCCAUCCCUACACUGAAUAGCCCUAACAAUAAGCAAUAAAAUAAUAGUAUUUUUUUAUUUAUAAAAUAAUACAAAAUAAUUAUUUUAAGAAAAGUAAAACAGACUCAAACACCACCUAGCGGUGACUUAAUAGAAUUGAACAUAAUAGAACCGAAUAGUUCCCAAUUCCGUCUCUCUCUGUUUCUAUCAUUCUCUGCAAAUUGCAAUGUCGAGAAACCACCAUGUCCUCCGCCUGGUGCUCUCAUGCCGCAAAAUCACAGCACAGGUGACGAGCCGCAGCAGCUCCUCAAUCAUAACCAUGGCCUCCUCCUCCGAGCAAGAGUUUGUCGUCCUCUACCCAUCCAAUCUCAACCGCUUCCCUCGCUCCCAAACCUUCUGGGACGCCAAGGUCGCCUCUCACGUCGGCGAGAAGCUCGCCCUCCGUCUCCAAGAUAUUGACGUCACCGGUGUUGAGAUCGACCUCUGCGAAGAGCUUUCCAUGCUCGUCCACCACCGCAUCAGGGUGUUGCCGCUCUUCGACUCUAUUCAGGCCUAUCCACCACGUGGCUGACGUCGCCCAGACGUCAGCCUUGCGUCACGUGGCCUUCGGGUUCUCGGGCUGGCUACUCGUGCCGAGCCUCUUCCUCGGGCUUGCUUGGGCUCAAUCGCCUGCAUACACUGGACCUCAUUGCUUGGGCUAUCUGGCCCUGUUUGAGAGCCAGUCCAUCGGGCUAUUGCCCACGGUAGAACUGCUCUUAGGUUACUAGUUUCCCAAGUCACUUGACUUGGAUGCUUUACUUGGGAUAUGUUUGUAGCUUUGUGAAAUCAAUUAUAAUUUUACAGAAAUGCCAUCUGCUCAUGUUUCUAAUACUUCAAUUGAUGACAGGUCAAAAACUUCAAUAGAAAUUAAAGCAUUUUAUCAAAAAAGAAAAACACUAGUCUAAUUCAACACCAGUUACGUUCUCGCUUGAUUAAUUACACACUCAUCAAUCUCCAAACUAAGGCUGAGAAGUUGGAGAACUAAAAGAACUUUAAAAAACAAAAUACAGAAGUCCAGAGAGAAAAAAAAAAUCCCUAAUCAAUCAAAGGUUAGUUGAUUUAUUGGGUUUUCCUUUUCCCAUAACAGACUGCUUAAUAAGUUGCUUCAGUCCCUUCUUCUUCUUUUUCUUAAUCACAUCAAUUUGAGUCCUCUCAACCUCACUGAUAUCAAUCUUCUCCUCUUUCUCACUCCUCCUGAUCAUCUCCUCUCUCUCUUUCUCACUCCUCUUGAUCAUCUCCGCCUCGUCACCUCUCUUCUUUUCGGCACUACUCUCCAUAAACUCCUCCUCCAGCUGCACGCACAGCUUCAGCACGCGGUCCUCAACGUGAUCCAGCCGCUCGAUCAGCGACCCCUUGGCGUCGGUCUCCAUCAUCACGUGCUCAAUCGGACGGCAGUGCUUCUCUAGGCUCUCGGGAGAGAUCAACUCCGCGGAUGAGGGUAAUUUCCCUCCCUCGCUCGUGAGGGUCCCGCUCGUCCUCGAGGGUGUGGACGUAAGCGAGCUACUCUUUGGCGUAUGAGUAUGUGAACGUGAAUGCGACUGCGAGCGUCGGAUUUCCUCCAACUGCCUCAGAAUUGUAUCGAGUCUGUCCAUCCUGAACAAAAUUGGUUCCUCGGUCGUGUUGGCCGUCGUCAUUGCCACCAUUAUUUUCCCGGGAAACAAACACUCCUUUGAUUCUUUUUUGUUAUUUUUCUUCGCUGUUUGAAGAUACCAGACAAAGAUAGAAUCAAGACGACGAAGGUUGCAGCUUGCUUAUUUAACGAGACUGAUACGUUGGACAGGUGUUAGAAUUGCGAUAAGACGACUGCUGAUAAAAAGUGUCGGCCGUAUGAGCUGCGAAUAGUUGCGGCCAUGCAGAGACUAAGCUUAGACACGUGUGCCAUUAGUGGUGCAGGGCCGUGUCGCAAUCCUGCGCCGGCCAUCGUCAGAUGACGGUGUGGAUUGGACUUUUGUGGAUUGGAGGACGGAGGUAGAUAUAUCAUCAGAUCUCGGCUGACAUUUCUUCAAAGGACGUGUGACAUUCGCAUCCACCCCUCAACGUCAUAAAAAUAAGGAUUAUCAUUAUGAAAAUCUAAUUGUCUCCCACGUACAAUUAAUUUUGUCGUACAAAUAUUAUAAUUGGAAGCGAUGUUUUUAGCAUACAAACGUAAAAUUAAAACACUUCAUUUUUGUUAUCAUCUAAUUAAAGAUCAUAUUUGUAAAAAGAUCAUUCAAUUUGAAAAUGGUAUAGUUACGAAUAUGCAUAAAACAAUAAACAGUUAAUUGUGAAGAUGUUACUUGUAUUUUUAACUACGUUAUUACAAUUUUAUUGUGAGACUAAACUGACUAUCUCACUCUUAGUGUAGAUAAUAUUGUUUGUUAAAAAAAUGUUCAUUUGAAGAUAAUUUUACAAAUUAUUUUUUAAACUAGAAAUUUGUCAUCUAAAUGUAAACAAAUUGACAUUAUAAGUAUAAUUAACAUAUUUAAAAUAAACUGUUUAUUUAUUUGAUACACUUGCUAAACAAAUUACUCAAUGUUGUGAUAUACAUUCUAAUACAUGAUUAUGUAAAUUCUUAUUGAAUUACUGUCUUAAUUCUGAUUGGGCCUUUGGCUUUGUCUAAAGCCCAAUGUUUGGUUGUUUAAUAGCCCAUAACGGGCUAGGGGUUAUGUAAGGCAUUCUUUAUGCCUUUUGGUUUGGGCGGCAGCGGAUGAGAGAAAAAGGAGCCGUCUGCCGACAGCUCCAAUUAGUCAGAAAAAGGAAACGCUGCUCCCCUUUUGUUAGUAAUCACUCGGUCAAAGAUAUUGGUGUUAGGUUUUGUGGCUUUUGGAAAAGAAGGGAUUCGGUAUAUCUUUCCAUCUUCUCCAUUUAUUCUUUGUAAGGGAUUUGGUAUAUGUUUCCAUCUUUUCCAUUUGUUCCUUGCAUGAGUGAGAGCUUUGUGUGUAUGUGGGUUUAGGGAUUUGAGAGUGAAACUGUUUGGACUUAUUUUUACACUAUCGGCCCAAGUAAUCGAGGUCGUUGAAUGAGCAGGAUUUUAGACCAACAAAGUGGUUGAAAUGUUUUUAAAUUAUUAUUGAGAAAUAAUAUUGUAAUUUUAAUUAUGAUAUUAUCUCUUAGUAAUGUAUUAAAUUAUUUAAACCUAAUAUUUGUCUAAAUCCCAAUUGAUUUGAAUGGUGAUGGAAUAUAGGGAUAAGCAUUAAGGCAUGGCAUCAGAUAACAGCAUGCAAAGAUAUUGGGAUACAAUUUGUAUAUGUGGUAUUGCUUUGGCCACGUGACACAUGCAUAAUUAGGACUCCUGUGCAAAGUGUUAUUUUGAUGGAAUAUGGCAUCUCAAGUGAUUAGCUGAUAUUGCAAUAAAAUUGCAUGCAUGGUUGCACGGAUGUCGUGGGAAAGGUAGCUUUAUAGUUUGCAUUGGGAGUCUUUGGCUAUGAAUGACUACUGAUGGAGUUUUGAUGUGAUGUGAUAAGCCUAUUUAGGUUUUUAUUAGCUUUGAAAAGUCAACCAUUUGAAGAUAGGCUAUAAGCCUAUGCCACAGAUCAGUUUGAGUUUUAGUCGGUUUCUGCUUAUGAUCCAGGCCGUGCCAAACAAAAAAUAUGUUCUUAUAAAUGCGGAGGCAAUGGCAACGCAUGAAGGACCUCCAAUUCAACACAUAAAUUGCCAUGCGCAUUCUCUCGCUCUAUGCGAAACCUCUCAACAACCUUGAGAUUUUUGUUUUCUUCUUUUCGCCGACGCAUUUUCAGUUUGGAUAAACAGCACUAUGAAGGCAACCGGCGACCAUCUUCAGUUUGGAUAAACAGCACUGUUGUCGUAGAAUCAUCCGACCGUGGAGCAUCUUCAGUUCGGAUAAACAACACUGCGACAUGGCCGACUGGUUACCUAUCAAAGUCUUGGUCGAGAAGGAUUUUUGAAUCCUUAUCGGCAGAGGUCGUCUCGUUAGCCUUCUCGGCGAAGCGAGGUGUUACAAGUUAUUAUACUCGGCACAUUGAACGCCGAGUCGUUUAUGAUUGGUUAUUCGCAAGUAGGUUUUAGAGUUCGGCAUUCUGACGACCGAACCACUUUCAUAAUCAAGACGUAUAUUUGUUUUGAAUACUUGUGUCCUUAUACUUUGGUGUCGAUUCGGCGUGCUUAUACUCUUGCGAAUAUAAUCACAAUGACCGAAUCCGGCGCCGACGAUUUGUGAACUUCGCAAAACUAGUAGCUUUGUCUUCAAGCUCUAGAACCUGAAGGCCAGGCGUGUUCUUUCCUCGGCCCCAGUUGCACGAUCGAGAAGUCAACCGCGCACCCAACGCAACAUCAACAAAUUUUACUCCUCGGUCGAGCUCGGCCAACGAGUUGGCACGCUCCGCAUACAACCGAAUGACGUAGUUAGCUUACGAAUUAUUCGGCAUGCGCGCCACGUAGGUUUACUAGUUUUUAGGGUCAACAUUUUGGCACGCCCAGUGGGACCCAAUGUUAAAACUACGAAGUUCACAUGAUAUAUGAAGAUCACAAUGAGAUUUGGCGCCUAUUCAAGGAAAUUGUCGAGCAACAACUCCUUGGCCAGAUCAUUGAAGAAAAUAAAGAAAGGCAAAAGUCUUUCUCUCAGAAGGCUGGGGGGCAAUUUUUCGCUCCGGCCACAAUUAAAAGUUGGCCUCAGAACAUUGUUGAGAUAGUAAAAAAAGAACCUAGGCCACCUGUUUUUUCAGUCGAGACUGAAAUUAUGGUAGGCCUAGAAGCAAAAGUUCAUGUUUCUGAGCCACAAAUCGACUUAGAAAAUGAUUCGUCAGAUGAGUGCUCCAAUGACGAACAAGGCCGAGACAUGGGCCUAGCCGAAAAAACCACGCCAAUCAAUAUGAUUAUUGGCGAUAAAGCCGAUAUAGAGAUAUUCGAUUCGGCUAAGUUAUUUAAGUUAAAAGCCAAAAUUGACGAAAUUAUUAUGCCUAGGGGGCAUAAUAAUUGUUCAACACAUUCGGCGGCCGAUAAAAAAUCUUUCGUCAAGUCAAACAUAUUUGGAAAUAUUAUUUUAUUCGGCCUUGCAAAAAUUCAAAGUGAAAGUUUUGAUACAAAAAGCCUUUGGCUUGGAAUAAAACAUCGUUGGCCUUCUCCACUUUAUAGUACGGCCACUUUUCUAUGCAUUUGCUAAAUUAUUUUCUUAACCAUUCGGCCCCUUGGCCGAUACUUAAGAAAAUAGGGGGGCAAUGAGCAUUGAAGCCCUCAUAUAUAUAAAAAAUAAAAAUAAAAAAAUAAAAAAAAUUAAUCAUUCGAUUGUGUAGGGUGAGCUCGGCCAAAAGAAUCAUUGGAUUCAAAUACAAGUUCAUGGAUUCUUAACAGUAUCGUUGGGCGAGUUCGGCCAAAAGAUAUAUUACGCCGAGCCAUUCAAUUCAAUGCAUGCACGCAACAUGGUGGAUAAGAGUAUGCUAGCCAACUAUUUGCUUGGUCGGUAUAUAUAGCCGACUGUUUGCCGAGCUCGGCAAAGGUUAUCAUAAGGUAAUUCGGCCUGUAGGAAAUAUAGUUCUUGACCAUGAAGUCAUUCAGCCCGCAAAAUAUAUAUAUAUAUAUAUAUAUAUAUUGCUUAAGGGGAGGGAUCCCCAUUUUUUCAAAAAAAUGGGGAGCCUUCUCCUGACCAUUGGAUGAACUGAGUGGUUGAGAUUAAAUAUCUGAUAUAUAUCAAAUUUCUUUUUCCUUUUUCUUUUCUGGUUCCCGCUUCUUCCUUGCAACACAGAGCUUCACACGAACAGAGCUUCGCACCAGAGCUUUGCACCAGCCAAAUCACAGGCCAUCGCGAAUAACCUUUGAGAUUUCAGGUAUAGGUCUCCUCCUCAUUCAUUAUUUUAGAUGAUUAAUUUGAAAUUUGGGUUGAACAAUUAGGGUUUUUUUCUGAUUCGGGAAAGACAAGCAACAUGUAGGGGAGGCGAAUGAGACAUUUUGCUUCUGUUGCUUUGAGAUUUCAAGACAUCGCCUCUAACCUUUGUGAUUCACUCAUCUUAUAACGUUGAAAGAUAAGCAGCAGGUAUGCAAAACUGUUUUUGAUGCUUUUUAUUAUUCUUUUUGGUGUGGAAAAGCAUUACUCACGUAGACAGUUCACUGAAAAUCGAGAGGCAGUGGAUAAUUUGAGUGGUUUUCUUUAGGGUUUUAGGGUAAAGACCUUUUGAGUUCUAAUUCAAAUUGGUUACAGAUUUUUCUUGAAAAUUUUGAGUUUUGUUCUUCUUUUCAAGUUUUGUUGAUGCAUUUUAUUAUUCUUUUUGGUGUGGAUGUUUGAUUGUUCUAAUGUUCAUGUUUAAGUUAUGGAAGCUAAUGAGAUGGCUAUUGAAGUUACGAGAACUAAUGAAAUGCCUAAUCAAGUUAUGGAGGCUAUGGAAGCUAAUGAGAUGACUAUUAAAGUUAUGGGAGCUGAUGAAAUGCCUGUUCAAGUUAUGGAAGCUUAUGAAAUGCAAGUUCCAAUGGAAAAUCAAUCAGAAAUUGUAGCUGGUAUUUGUUUUUUCUAUCCUCAAGUAACAGAUGAGUUCAAGCCUACCAUAGGUCAAUAUUUCGAAACAUUAGACGAAGUGAUUGAAUUUUACAACAACUAUGCAAUGGAGGCUGGGUUUAGUGUCCGAAUGCAUUCAAGUAAGAAAAAUAAGGAUGGUGAGAUCAUGAGAAAGGAGUUUGUGUGCAACAAAGAGGGAAGUAUACAAAAGAAUGGAUUGGUGACGAACAAAAGCAUCGUGGAUUAACCAAAAAAGGUUGUAAAGCAAGAUUGAUAGUUGUGAGAUCUAAACUUGGUGGGUAUGCAGUCACCAUAUUUCACGAGGGCCAUAAUCAUCCAAUGACAUCCCCACGAAGACGCCACUUGCUAAAGUCUCAUCGCAAGGUUACUAAGUGUCAUACAAUAUUAGCUGAUCAGCUAGACAUAGCAAACAUACCUCCACACAAACAAUUUAACAUUCUUGGAUUGCAGGUAGGUGGAAUUGAAAAUGUUGGUUGUACACAAAAAGAUUUAUAUAACUACAGAAGCAAGGUGCGAAAUAAGAUGAAGGGGCAUGAUGGAAAAAUGUUGCAUGAUCAUUUUUUGCUAGAGCAAGAAAGAAAUUCUGAAUUCACAUUCAAGAUUCAAGUAGAUGAAGAACACAAGAUUACUCAAUGUUUUUGGGCCGAUGCAAGUUCUAGGCAAGCAUACAAGUUUUAUGGUGAUGUGGUCAUUUUUGACACUACAUACAACACCAAUCGGUAUAGUAUGAUAUUUGCCCCGUUCAUGAGUGUAAACAAUCAUGGUCAAACAAUCGUUUUGGCUGGUGCCUUCUAAGUGACGAGACGAUAGAUUCAUUCAUUUGGUUAUUUAGAGAAUUUUUGAAUGCCAUGCCAGGUGAUGCUCCAAAAAUGAUUAUUACUGAUCAAGAUCUGGCAAUGACAAAAGCCAUUCCUUACUGUUUUCCAAACACGUUUCACAGAUUCUGUACGUGGCAUAUUUUGGAUAAGUUCUCGAGCAAGCUUCCUCCGAUGAAAUACAAAGAUCAUUAUUUAGAUUUCAAAGCAUGUAUUUGGGAGUCAGAGACUAUAGAGGAGUUUGAUGUGAAAUGGAUGGCUGUUGUUUCAAAAAGUGGAUUAUCUGGUAAUGGCUGGUUGCAAUCGAUAUAUAGGAUUCGAUCUACUUGGGUUCCAACCUAUGUUAAUCAUGUUUUUUCUGCAAAUUGCUCAACUAGUCAGAAAGCUGAGAAUGGACAUUUAUUUCUAAAGAAAUAUGUUUCCAAGAACAACUCAUUCCUCGAGUUUAUGGUUAAUUAUAAUAGGGCAUUGGCACGCCAACGCCAUUCGGAGUUGAAGGCAGAUCAUAUUGAUUUGAACGAGAGGCCAAAACUCAAAUGCCCUAUUAAGAUGGAUGCGCAAAUGGCCAAUAUUUAUACACGUAGCUCUUACCUUGAUUUUCAAGAGCAGUUGUGGGAAAGUUACAGCUAUAAUAUUGAGCUUACAAGCGAAAAUGAUACUUGCAGCAUGUUUAAAGUUUUGCCCAUUGAUGACGAAAAGGGUAGAGUUCGUGAAAUUUUGUAUGAAAAAUCCAGGGAUUUUGCAUCAUGUAGCUACAAACAAUUUGAUAGUUCAGGAAUCCCAUGCAGCCAUCUUUUGGCAUAUUUGCAUAAAAUACGUUAAUUUCAUAUAUUGCCAGAUGAAUACAUUUUGAAGAGAUGGACUAAAUCUGCAAAAUCUUCGGUUACAGUUUCUAAUGUGGAGAUAUCUGUCAACAAAUCUGUACUUAAAAGGCGUGGUAAAUUAUUCCAACAAUAUUCGCAUUUGAUUGAUAAAGUCAUUCUAAAUGAUGAGGCAAGUAAACUCUUUUGUGAGGCAAUGGAUGUUGUGAAUGAGAAGAUUAAGCCAUUGGUUGGUGGUACCAAUGAAAUGUGGAACCUUCUACAACCAAAGGAGAUAUGGAAUGUCGUGCAAAAAGAAAAUCGAUAGUAGAUGAUGUUGGUUUUCUUGAACCUAAUCCUGUUAAGACCAAAGGAUCUGGAAAAAAACUUAAAAAGGGAAAAGAGAAAGGAAAAUGCAAGAAGAGGGUUAAUGGUAACCUUUGUCAUGGGUGUGGGCAAUAUGGAGUUAAUCAUGACAAAAGAAAUUGUCCGGAGCUCCACAAUCGGUAAAAAUACAUACUCCGCGUGUUUUUGUAUGUAUAUCGUGCAAUUAAUAUAUCAAUAGUUGAAAUGCGUUUGUUGUCUAUGAUGUAUAAUAGCAUUAUUAUUGUUAAUCAACAUUUUUAUGAUUUCUAUUUUGGUUAAUUGCAGAAUGAGCAACACUCAUUGUCUAUAGGAAGCUGAUCUCAUUUUUUUGUUCCUAAUUUGCAUGAUGUUAAUGAGGUUCCUCUGUUUUGCAUAAGUUUAUUCUAUGAAUUUUGAGGAAUUGGCCAUGAACUUGCAGAAUGAGGAGCACUCAUUGUCCAUAGGAAGCUGAUCUCAUUUUGUUUUUGUUCCUAAUUUGCAUGGUGUUAAUGAGGUUCCAUGGCAAUAUCAAAGCCCAUGUAUAUAAACCUGAAAAUUAAGGUUUUCAUUUCAAAACAAGCGUGGUGUGUCAUGUGUAAAUAACAGCUUAAAUAGUUGAUAUGUGAUAAAGACAAUGAAAAGCUCACUUACACAAACGUCUCCGCUAGUGAUGAUAUCAAAUGGAAAAAGUAAGAAACAAAUCUUUGAGGGUUUUCUGAUAAAUUUGAAUACGUAUAAUGCUUCAUGACUUAAAACAGAACACCAAUUUGUCCAUGGCACAGGUUUACCGUAGAAUAUAUUAAAAAGAAAAAAUGUACAGUUCUUCCACUUACCAUUCAUGUGAACAAUAUUGACACAAUACCAGACAGACCAAGACCUUCUACAAGCAUGUAACUAAACAGAUGAUAGUUCUACGUCAAUUUGCAUAUAAGGAGAAGGCCUUAAAACUAAUUUACAUAAGAUGAAAAACGGCCAAGAAGAUCACUCAUGAGAAAUAUGGAAAGAGGACAAACAGACAGCACUCCAAGUUUUGAAGACUGAAAAGAUAACAAGACAACCUCGUAAUUUCCACCGUAGUACUAACUAAACAAAGGCCAGCAAAGAAUGGAAGAGAAGAAUCACUCACUUGUCAAUAUCCAACCCUGCAUACUAAAAAAGGUUUUCACAAUUAAGAUCACUCACUUGUCAACUGCCAUGGCCAUCACAUGUCACACUGCAGUCAAACACAUAUAAAUAGUUCAUCACCAUUAUUUAAGUAAAAGCAAAUGGCAAACAAUUUUUAAGUAAAAGCAAAUGGCAAACAAUUUAAUUAGUAAUGAAAAUGGCAGCUUCAAUAGCAAGUCCUUACCAAUCGGGGGCUUUCCCUUCAAAAUCAAAACCCAAAAGGUUAUAAGGUCCCGAGUUCAUACUCUAUUAAUUCAGUCCAUCCAAAUCUGUAACCAAUUUGAAUUAGCACUCAAAAGGUCUUUACCCUAAAACCCGAAAGAAAACCACCAAAUUUAUGGACCCAUUUGAAACCAGAACCAUCCCGAAUCAGAACGCAAUAGGUUUUUGUGUUUAGAAUUUGAAAAACAUAAACCUCAAUUGUUCAACCCAAAUUCCAAAUGAAUCACCUAAAAUAGUGAAUGAGGAGGAGACCAAUACCUAAAAUCUCAAAGGUUAGAGGCUAUCGCCUGAAAUCUCAAAGCAACAGAAGCAAAAUGUCUCAUUCACAUCCCUUACCUGCUGCUUGUCUUUCCCGAAUCAGAAAAAACCCCAAUUGUUCAACCCAAAUUUCAAAUUAAUCUUCUAAAAUAGUGAAUGAGGAGGAGACCCAUACCUGAAAUCUCAAAGGUUAUUCGCAAUGACCUGUGAUUUGGCUGGUGCGAAGCUCUGGUGCGUAGCUCUGUUCGUGCGAAGCUCUGUGUCGCAAGGAAGAGGCGGGAACUAGAAAAGAAAAAGGAAAAAGAAAUCUAAUAUAUAUCAGCUAUUUAAUCUUAACCGCUCAUUUCAUCCAAUGGUCAGGAGAAGGCUCCCCAUUUUUUUGAAAAAAAUGGGAUCCCUCCCCUCAAGCAAUAUAUAUAUAUAAUGAGAAAUAAUAUAUAUUUCAUCCAAUGGUCAGGAGAAGGCUCCCCAAUUACGAACAAUUAAUUUCCUUAACCAUUCGGGCUUACGAGCCGAAAUUUAAGGAACUGGGGGGCAAUGUUUGGACCCAUUUUUACACUAUCGGCCUGAGUAAUUGAGGUCGUUGAAUGAGCAGAAUUUUAGACCAACAAAGUGGUUGAAAUGAUUUUCAAUUAUUAUUGAGAAAUAAUACUGUAAUUUUAAUUAUGAUAUUAUCUCUUAGUAAUAUAUUAAAUUAUUUAAACCUAAUAUUUGUCUAAAUCCCAAUUGAUUUGAAUGGUGAUGGAAUAUAGGGAUAUGCAUUAAGGCAUGGCAUCAGAUAACAACAUGCAAAGAUAAUGGGAUACGAUUUGCAUAUGUGGUAUUGCUUUGGCCACGUGACACAUGCAUAAUUAGGACUCCUGUGCAAAGUGGUAUUUUGAUGGAAGAUGGCAUCUCAAGUGAUUAGCCGAUAUUGCAAUAAAAUUGCAUGCAUGGUUGCACAGGUGUCGUGGGAAAGAUAGCUUUAUAGUUUGCAUUGGGAGUAUUUGGUUAUGAAUGACAGCUUAAUGGGAUAAAGCAAGGCUACUGAUGGAGUUUUGAUGUGAUGUGAUAAGCCUAUUUAGGUUUUUAUUAGCUUUGAAAAGUCAACCAUUUGAAGAUAGGCUUUAAGCCUAUGCUACGGAUCAGUUUGAGUUUUAGUCGGUUUCUGCUUAUGAUCCAGGCCGUACGUGCCAAACAAAAAAUAUGUUCCUAUAAAUGCAAAGGCAAUGGCAACGCAUGAAGGACCUCCAAUUCAACACACAAAUUGCCCUACGCAUUCUCUCGCUAUAUGUGAAACCUCUUAACAACCUUGAGAUUUUUGUUUUCUUCUUUUCAUCGACGCAUCUUCAGUUUAGAUAAACAGCACUGUGAAGGCAACUGGCGAACAUCUUCAGUUUCGAUAAACAACACUGUUGACGUAGAAUCAGCCGACUGUGGAGCAUCUUCAGUUUGGAUAAACAACAUUGCAACAUGGCCGACUGGUUACCUAUCAAAGUCUCGGUCGAGAAGAAUUUUUGAAUCCUUAUCGGCAGAGGUCGUCUCAUUAGCCUUCUCGGCGAAGCGAGGUAUUACAAGUUAUUAUACUCGGCACAUUGAACGCCGAGUCGUUUAUGAUUGGUUAUUCACAAGUAGGUUUUAGAGUUCAGCAUUCUGACGGUCGAACCACUUUCAUAAUCAAGACGUAUAUUCGUUUUGAAUACUUGUGUCCUUAUACUUUGGUGUCGAUUCGGCGUGCUUAUACUCUUAAGAAUAUAAUCACAGUGAUCGAAUUUGGCGUCGACGAUUUGUGAACUUCGCAGAACUAGUAGCUUUGUCUUCAAGUUCUAGAACCUGAAGGCCGAGGCGUAUUCCUUCCUCCGCCGCAGUCGUACAAUCGAGAAGUCAGCCGCGCACCCAACACAACAUCAACAAAUUUUACUCCUCGGCCGAGCUCGGUCGACGAGUUGGCACGCCCCGCAUACAACCGAAUGACAUGGUUAGCUUACUAAUUAUUUGGCAUGUGCGCCACGUAGGUUUAGUAGUUUUUAGGAUCAACAGAAACUAAAUUUAUAACCUUCAUUUUAAUUAUUAGUGGAAUUUCCUUGCCAUCUUCGAAUUAGACGUAGGCUUACAUCAAACCAGUAUAAAUUCUUGUGUCAUUUUGGGUUGUUUGUCUUUGCAUAUUUUGUCGUAAUAGGUUAUUGGUUUCAUAUUUGACACUUCCGCACAACAAUCCUAAGCAGAAAUAGAUUAAGAAUUCUUCUGGAUCUAGAAGAUCUUUUCUAUUAAACUUUGUAUUACUUGAAGAGUAAGUUUCUCUCCUCUUUAUUUUUAUAAAUAAAGGAGGUUGGGGGAAUUAACACACAUAAGUCCUUAAGCCUAUUCUCCAUCUCUCUUUCUCUCUUCCUAUGUUCCCUCUCUCUCUCCUCAAUUAAAUAUAGGCCACAACACUCAAAUAAUUAUAAAACAAUAAUUAAAAUUUGAACAGUUACAAUUAUACAUAUAUCUAUCAAGGUGGAGGCAAGUAUAAUCCUAUGGCCGAGGCUUUUUGAUCAAGCGAGUUGCUUGUAAACACAAAAUUUCUGUGACAAAUUAAACAAAAACACAUGUACAAAAUAAAGAAUUUGUAUUAGUGAGUGUUUAGUGUUACAAUCUUUGUUUACAAAGUUGAAUCCUCUUAUUCGAUCUCUGGUGUGUAGAGUAUGUGGUUAAUCCAGGUGUCGCGAUGACUUGAUCUUGCAUGAAUGGAUGUCGCAAGGUUUAUGCUCUCGGCAAUGGAGGUACAUUCACGUGUAGGGGGCUUGGUGGUUCACGAGAGUGACGAAGAGCGCAGUGAGUUUUAUGAGUCUUCUGGAAGUUUAAGACUAUUUGAGGCUUGAGAAUUUGAGUGUCUGGGAGAGGAUAAACUUCUGACCAUUUUUUUGUCCUGAAGCCUCAUAUUUAUAUGCUCUCCAAGUCUUGCAUACAGUUGAAUUUGAUCUUGAUAUUGGACUUGAUUAAUUGAUGAAAGAACCAAGACUUGAUUUUGGACUUGGUUCGUGAUUUGACUUCAUCAAAUAAUUAGUCACAUUAAAUUUAAAUCAACUAAUUUGUAUUAUUUAAAUCAAAAUUAAUCAAAUAUUAAUAAAAAUUAUUCCUUAAUUAGUUUUCGCCAAAUUUCAACAUGUGUCACCCUUGAUGACUUGUUCAUGUGUACAAUUUGUGAGAUGCAUGAUGUAUGUCAUGUCAGCCCUGACAUGUUGAAAUUUGAUAUGUUGGUGAACAUUUAUUUCACCGAAAUUUUGGUGUUUACAUUGCUCUUUCUUCGCUUCACACCAUGGUCCGAAAUGCCGAUAAUAUCGGCGAUAUAUCAUCGAUAUUAUCGGUUUUUAGGGGAACCGAUUUUUUUUUCAAUAUCCAAAUGGUUUUCGGGAUAAUAUCGCGAUAUUAUCGAUAAUAUAAGUUGAAUUAUUUUUCCAAAAAAGAUAGGAAUAUAAGCAAUUAUAUAUUGACAUAACUCAAUCGAGUAACUAGGCAAGGUAAUUGUUUUGGUUCGAGUUCGCCAGUUAAAGCCGUACACAAGAUUGCAUGAGGAUUGGUGAAUCUAGUGAUGCUGACUGCCCUAUUAAUUGCGGUCAUUAAUUUAACGUAAUCCAUUCGCCACACAAAUUUCAAAACUCAAACUCAAUCAUCUAACGGCAAUCAAUGAACUAAUGAACUAGUUCAUCACCAUCACUUAAUAGGCGGCCAGCAAAACUAUUCACAUAACUGAAAUAGUCACUUGUUAGAAACUUAGAAUAUGAUUGUAUGAGUAUAGGAGAAAGGUUGCCAUGGAAUUGGAGGGCUUAAAAGUAUGAUAAAUUACUGUUUCAGUGACAGUUUUCAGCUCUCUCAUAAAUAUGUUGGCUAUUUAUGUUCAAAUUUUACAUGAAAUUCAACCCUUUUACAUUACAACGAAACACGUUCUUCGUUCACCUCGUAUCAUCUACAAACAGUGCAAUCUUCGAAUGGACAAACCAGUUCACAGAAACAACAUCAGAACAAAAUAUUAUUGACUCCCACCUCUCGAGCUUUACUUGGGCGAACGAACAAAGAAAAUUUGAAUGUGAACAAGUAACAUUGUCGUUCCUCAGUCUAGCAGUUGAUUCCACACUCCUCAAUAUCUGGACCGGUGACUCUCGUGGUAAAGGGAUCAACCCUCACCCACAACAAUGAGAAAAUUGAAGCAAGGAGAAUCGACCACACGAUUACAAUGGUGGGCGUACGGUUCUGGCGCCCCAUGAGACCCUUGAGGAAUGGAUACAAAUGGACAAUCACCCAAAAGGCAAAGAAGAGCUUACCAAAGAGGGGACCCCAUGAUUGGUAACCACUGUUGACGGCAUACGAUAUACCUGCAACAACCCCCACCAAGUUUAUGAUGAGGAGAGUCGUUGGUGGGAUGAGAAGGGUAGUCCAUUUAAACAUGUAGAGUUCAUUAAAGUCCCCGUCUUCGUCUGAUGCCUUGGAGGUGACAGUGAAGUUGGUGUCAAUACCAGCAAGUACUUUGAGGAGACCUUGGACAACCGCAAACAGAUGGGCAGAAACACCACCAAUAACCCAAAACUGUUCAUUUCUCCACCACUCAUCGAUUCCAACACCACUCCACCUCAUCUCUAGAAUACCGGUUGCAAAGAUAGAAAGAAAGAGGGAGAUAAACCAUAUACUCGCAAGGUUGCUAAUCUGCAACCAGAAUAAGCCCAAAUUUAGUGAAUUUUUACACAAGUCUUUUAACAAAAUUUCAGAUUGAGAUUAUAAUAAAUCUGCAUGAACUACGGGAAAAAUUAUAUAUCUUAUCAAUAUAUAGAUAUCCUAUGUCAUGGUUUCGGGAAAAGUAUAUUUAUUAUGGUGAAUUGAGAGGCUCCUCAAUUCAUAAAACAAAGAAAAUCUAUCACUGCCUUCCGAACCUAUUAAAACAGCAGGUUUUGCUAAACGAUCACAUAGAAGCAGUGCUCUAUAAGACCACAAGAAAAAAUUAAAGACACAGGGCAAUUAUUGUGAUGUAACGAACCUGUGGGAUGAUAAAUUUGUUGGUAAGAAGACAGACAGCCGGCAGUGUACAGUACAUGAGAAGAGGUAUGGAAGUGAUUGGGUAAAUGGUAGUGUUCACAUACGCAAAUCUCUCCAGCCAUUUUAGCCUCCCACUGUAACCAUACCAGAUAGGACAAUGCCGACUAAGAAGAAUUUCCACAGAUCCCAAAGCCCAUCGAAGCACUUGGUUCAGACGAUCUGAAAGAUUAAUAGGAGCAGACCCUUUAAAGGCUGGGAGCUUAGGCAUGCAGUAUAUAGACCUCCACCCGCGGGCAUGCAUCUUGAAUCCUGUAAGAAUAUCUUCUGUGACAGAACCAUAGAUCCAUCCAAUCUGUGGGAGACAAAUAAUCAUCCUCUUAAGAGUGAAGAAAAAAUGACAACAGGGAACAGAAAAUAAAAGUAGGCCAUCGAAGUCCAAUCUAAACCAAUGACUGCUACUGAAAAUCCUUAGAAAUUACAUAUAAAAAGCAGGAGGAAGAAUCAGAAUUUAUAUGAAAGUUGAUGAAAUUUGAAGUGUCAAAGAGACUCACAGUCAGCAGCAUAUUUCAACCACACAAAAUUACACUAAGGCAGCUUAAUUAUGUAAAUGUCUAGACAAACGAAUUUCAAAGGUGAUACUAAGCAACAUUUGUUAUUCUUUCCUCGUUGCAUUGGAAAUAAAAGGAUACUGCAUAAGGUAACAGAAGCAUUAAAAAUAAUGGCAUACCUCGUUUCCCCAAUCAGAUUUGUCUUCAUAUCCACAGCUGAUAACAUGAAUAGCUUCUUUAAGUAGAGUUUCUGGUGUUGCAGAUUGAGGAACACCGCCAUUCUCCAUCAGUGUAGAGGCAACAAAAACAGAAGACUGGCCGAACCUCUUUUCUAGGCUCAUUUGUGACAUCAAUAAUGACUUCUCAUCGUCAAAUCCAGCACCUGAUGUUGAAUAAAAUGUACGUUGAGUGUUCCAACUAAUAAAAUUAAUAACAGGAAGAGAAAGAAAAAUCUCCUGCAUUGACUCAUUAUUUAUGCCACCUGGAAGUAGGCAUUAUAUGUAUUGUACUCUGCCUCCAUUAUAUACAAAUGAAAUAUGAACAAACUAAAGAUACAAAACGGAUAUUCAAAUUACCUUCCACCCCCUCUUCAAUAUCCUCUAGACUGAAAAUUGGCACAGUAGGAUCGACAUUCUUAUUUGAUUUCUUUUUGUCCGAUCCCUUUUUACUUGAUUUUGAACCCUUCUUCCGUGAUCCACCACAAAGUGAAGAUAGAACUCCAGUUUUCUUAUGCUUAGGUUUGACAGGAGGUUCGUAACCAUACAAAGCUGUUCUAUUGAAGACACAUCCAGUACCCACAUAAACUGGCCCUUGAAUACCAUCUAAACCCCUCAAGUUAAUCUGAAAUCCAGAAGGAAACGGACAACAUAUUAAUCAAUCUAUGCAAGCCCAUGGUGAAAUAAGUAACUGUCUUCUGUGGUUACUACAAGGAUAGAGAACUUACAUCAAAGAAAACAGUGUUACGAUUGGCAUAUCGAUCGUUUCUAUCAAUACCAUCAAACCUCUGUGGGAACUGAACAUAACACACAUUUUUCCCAAGGUUAGGAUCCAUUAGAAAGCACAUAGCUUCCCUCAAGGCCUUACUGUUGUUGAUGUAAUGAUCACAAUCAAGAUUCAACAGGAAAGGUCCGUUAGUGAGGACUGCAGAUACCCGAACCUGCAAGAGAGUUUCAUUGGCAUCAGAUGAAGAAAAAAACCUAAUUCUACAGAGAUAAAGUGAUAAACCAACUCUAGAACAUAAAAAUACAAAAUACUCACAAGUGCAUUCAUAGCACCAGCCUUCUUGUGAUGUUGGAAACCUGGACGCUUUUCACGAGAAACAUAGACUAAACGUGGCAGUUCAUUACCAUCAGUAUCGAGCCCUCCACUUUGGCCUAAGAAAACCUGAAAGUGGAAAGAUAAAUACAGAUCUUAGUACAAAACGAAAUCAUAUAUUUUAUACUCAGCUUCAGUAUUCCAUACAAGCGUCAACUAGUCAGUAUCAACUUCAAUAACUAUCUCCCAUAGCUUAAAGAGAUCUGUCACAUAAGAUAUAUCCACCUGAAUCAUUCCUGGAUGGUCUCUAGUAUUAUUUCCAGGCCAUGGGGUACCAUCUUGCAUGAUCCAUCCUUCUUCGGGUAUUUUUGUGGCCUUUGCAACAAGCCCGUUAACACGAACUUUAAAUUCUUCGUAUUCUCUCUGAAACCAAAAAGGAAAGACUACGAGUGAGGAGGAGCACCUUUGUAAUGGGGCAGAGUGUUUUAGAUGUUUACGCUAAGGGCCUACCUUCAUUGCUCUACGCUCUUUGACGAAUGAUGGUUGAACUUUAUCCUUUAAGUAAUCAAUCUUCUGUGAAAAGUACCAUUCAGGAGCCCGAGGCUCAAUAGCAUACUUCUUGCAGAAAGGGACCCAUUUCCUAGCAAAUUCUGAAGUUUCAGACAGAGCUUCAAACGUCAACAUUGCAGCUCCAUCAUCAGAAACAUAGCAAGAAACCUUGUCAACCGGGUAGUCAACUGCAAGAAUAGAUAGCACAGUAUUUGCUGUCACCAUAGGAGGCUCCUUCAAUGGAUCAACAGUACUGACAAAGAUGUCAACAGCAGCUAAGUUUGAUGGUUCUCCUUCUCGGUCAUAUCUGCAACUCAAAUGAAAUAGGAAUUAAACUCAAAAUACAAGGGCAAACAAAUCUGAAAUGACACUGCUAAUUGACAUUUUCAAACGAAUUUAAUCAUUUAUGUAACCGAGGGUAUUCACAAAGAAAUUUUCCCACCUCAAAGAAAGUCUGUCAAGAUAUGUUUCACGAUUUACAGGGAGCCACUUUGGGAACUGAUCAAGAAUCCAGGAAAUUGCAAACCAAAUCUCACAAAUGACUGAUAUCAGCCACAGAGCAUAGGCAUUUUGCACAGGAUUUGUUAUUCGAUAGUGCAAGAAAAUGCACAGAAUAAUAAGCCGCAGAACAAUGACCAUUCUGUAAGG
This 82676-nucleotide long non-coding RNA is filed under the name Malus domestica (apple). Its description in RNAcentral is "long non-coding RNA (MDOM_LNC006407)". The record is from RNAcentral. Lineage: Eukaryota; Viridiplantae; Streptophyta; Magnoliopsida; Rosales; Rosaceae.